This 77600-nucleotide long non-coding RNA is filed under the name Medicago truncatula (barrel medic). RNAcentral's name for it is "long non-coding RNA (MTRU_LNC001464)". The record is from RNAcentral. Lineage: Eukaryota; Viridiplantae; Streptophyta; Magnoliopsida; Fabales; Fabaceae.
CUGAGGUUUUUGGACAUGCUCAAAGAAGGGAGUAAGCCUGUGAAGUUAUUAAAUGACAAGUCUAGAUAAACAAGUUGGGUGAGUUCAGACAUUGAACUAGGAAGUGUUCCAUUGAAUUGGCAGUGAGAUAGGUCAAUAGUCGACAGGUGCUUCAGAUUGGAGAUAGUAUUUGGAAGUGGUCCUGAGAAAUUUGUAUCGGCAAGAUUUAAGUACUUCAGAGAUGCAAGUGGUGAGAAAUCUGGCAAAGAACCAUUAAGAUUUUGAUUGUCUGAUAUGUCAAGGACCUUUAAUGUGUGGAUUUGGAAGAUAUCUUUUGGGAAUAAACCAUUCAAGCCACAACUACUGAUUUGUAAGGUUGUUAAAUUGGAGAAUUUCGCAAAGGAGUCUGGCACUAUGCUUGACAAUUUGUUGUUGUUCAAUUUUAGAACAGAGAGUGACUGAAGCCUAACUAGUGAGGAAUCAAUAGGUCCAGAGAGAUUGCAUGAUGACAUGCUCAGAACACGGAGUCCCCCCAAUGAAGACAAAGAACGGCCCCAUUCUUCUCCGCUGGCAGAUAUUGCUACACCAUCUAAAUACAACUUUGUGAUAUCUGUGAGGUUUCGAAUAAACAUUGCUAUAUUUGGCUGCUCAAGUUUUAGGACGUGAUGUGAAGUAAAUGAAGACGACAAAUCAAGAGAGACCAACCUUUUGAGGUGAGAAAUUUCCUUAGGGAUCUGUCCCUUAAAUCCAGCAUUGGACAAGUUCAGAUACAUCAAAUUUUGUAGCUUAUCAAAGUCUUGAGGAAUCACAGAACGAAAAUCAUUAAAAGCCAAAUUCAGACUCUGCAGAUAUUGCAAGCUGAAAAGAGCACUUGAAUUGUCAAGUCCUCCGGAAAUAGACUCAUGACUAAGAUCAAGGGCUGUAACAUGUCCAUCUUUGCAUGUUACCCCAUGCCAUUGACAACAAUCAUCAUCACCUUGGUUCCAAUGAAAUAGCUUUGAGGAGUUUGUAAGGUUGAAAGUGAGGUUGUUUUUCAAAUGGAGCAACAAGGAACGUUCAUGGACCAAAAAAUUAUUAGAACUGGAAUUGAUUAUUCUGAAUGGUAUAAAGAAAAUCCAAAGGAUUAUGUGUACUCUCAUAGUGAAUUAUGGUAUAAAGAAAAUGUAAAGAAGAGGCUUUUUGUGAAUAAAGUAUAUAUUUCUCCCUUUAUAUAGACUACAAAAAUUGGACUGUUGAUUAAAUCAACCCAACCUGGUAUGAUCCUCGUGCGUUGGGAAACUUUCUUUUAUAGGUAUCACAAAAAGAUAAUAAAACUACAUGUAUUCUUAUCCAACGAUAGUAGAGUCUAGCUGAAAGAGUCAAUCCUCCAUUUAAAAAGAUGGUCACAACUUCUUUUAUAUGGAUCAUGUUAAGGGUAUUUUGAAGGAUUUAAAAAACAAAAUAAUUGAUAAGGUUUAUGCAAAAAAAAGUUACUUUUUAAAAUUAAAAAAUGUUAAAUUCACAAUUUUUAAAAUGAAAGUUCCUCUUCAGACUUCUUAAAGAGUGUCCUAAAGACACUUGUUAGCCUUUCCGUUUUUAUAUUAAUGGUGGUAACAACUUUUUUCGACUGCACAAGAAUGCAUAAUAGUUUUUUUUUUCUUUUUUUCAUUUAGAGGAGAAUGCAUUAUACUUUUUGUAUAUAUUAACGUUAACACGACUUUGGAAUUUGACUCAAGAAUGAGUUUUUGUGCAUGGUGACAAUCAUGACACGAUUUUGGAAUCGUGAUACGAUUUUGAGACAUAAUGUAGAUGUAACUACCGGUAAAACAUCGUGGUGCGGUGGUAAAAAUCAUGAAACCAUUUUGGGAUAAGGUAGGAGUAUUGUACUAUGUACAAGCUUUAUCAUGGCACGACUCUGGGCAAUCGUGACACGAUUUUGACAGGUUUUGGACACUAUAUAUAAGCAUUCAUUGUUAUUUUUGAAGGUAAAGCUUCAAGAGAGAGAGAAACUUGGAAAAUUAAAUGAGGUAACUUCAUGAUUGAGUGUCUUUGGUGUUCUUUUGGGUUGGAAACAUUUGUAAACACCUUGGAUGAUUGAAAAUCUUUGAGUGUCUUGUUCACGUACGGAAAGAGAUUAAAAAAUGGGUAGAAAUUAGGUUUGUUCUUUGUGAACUUGUCGAAGCUAAUUCCUUGUAGCUCGUUUGUAUCUCUUUGUAAAGAACUCGUUGAUAAUGAAGCGGAGAGAUCUCUCUCCCCAGAGUAGGUCAUUGUUGGACUGAAUUGGGUAAACAUUUAUUGGUGUGUUUGUUUCUCUUCUCUCGUUAUCUUUUGUUUGUAGUCUUGUGUUUUUCACUUGAUUCCUGUAUGAGAUCUAGGUUUGUUAUUGUUGUUGUUACGUGAUGUUAUUUUAUAUUGGUUACUACUUUCCUUUACUUCACACACCUAAGUUUAUUGGUGUGAGAUUUGAGUCCGAAUUCACAACAAUUGGCCCCCGCCGUGGGGCAAAGGCGUGAAUUGGUAAGGUGAGUAUCAUGGGUUCAAAGUGGGAUAUCGAGAAAUUUAUCGGAGACAAUGAAUUUGGAUUAUGGAAAUUAAAGAUGCAAGCCGUUUUGAUACAACAAAAGUGUGAGAAAUCUUUGAAGGAUGAGGGUGCGUUGUCGGUCACCAUGUCAUAAGUGGAGAAGACUGAGAUGGUGGACAAGGAAAAUGAGGGAUAUUGUCUUGUGCCUCGGGGAUAAAGUUUUGAGAGAUGUCAGGAUGGAACCUACUGCGACAUCGAUGUGAUCAAUUGAAAUUCUUAAAACAACAACUCUACUCAUUUAAGAAGGUGGAGUCAAAUGCCGUCAUGGACCAACUUAUAGAGUUCAACAAAUUUUUUGAUGAUUGGGAGAACAUUACAAGGAACAUGGAAUUCCUCUCAAACUAAGCAAUUGAUUCCUUCUAAACCUAAUUCAUUUAAAUUCAACUAGUGUUUUUUUUUCUUUCAUAUAUUCAUCUUUGGCUUCCGCAAUUAGUUAUUAUAAAAAACCCAAUUAAGUAAGAACUAACAAAAUUAGGAACAAAAAAAAUGGGAUAAAACUUCAGUUUCAUAAAAAGAUACAAAGUUUUUGUGUAAUAUUUUUUUAUUGUUAUGAAUAAUUGACUUAGUGGAUGUCCAUCCUUAGUCUUCCACCUUCCUAUAAUCUCCAUUAGCGAGUGAAUAGUUAGCGGACCUUAAUUAUUUUGAUCGCCACUUACUCAUUUUGUGUCCUAUAAAUAGGACUCAUAUUUUAUUGAAAAAGACACACUUGUGAAUAGAAUAAUAUACAAAGCUUUCAUCAUGAUCUUCUUCGAUCUUUAUGCUUUUAGUUUAUUUUAUAACAUUUAUUAAAUUUUACCCUCAGCUUAAAACUUUUUUAUUUCCAUUUUAUCUUUUCUUAUCAAUAAAAUAACUCAUGUUUUUGAAAGAUCAGAUAAAAUUUUACAACUUCUAUUAUUUGUAAUUGAUAAAAACGGAAAGCCUGUUUGGAUGAUUGAAGUUAAUAAUUUUUCCUUGACAAGAAAAUUAAUAAUAUUUAAAUAGUGAGAAUUAUAUGAAAAGAUAAAUAAUAUGAGAUGAAAGAAUAAAAAAAAUUUAUAUUUUUUCAAGUGUACUUCACACGUUUAAAACUAAAGUCAUUCAAUCUUUUAAACUGGCAUUAUUUUUGUUGAAUGUAACCAAGAAAAAGAAUUAUUUUUGUUGAAUAGACAACUAAAGUCAAUUGACAGUUUAAGUGGUGGAAAACAUUUGAAGACAUUAAAGAUCUUACCUUAAUUUGAAAACUUUAAGGUCAAUCUUUUAAAAAUUUUAUCUUAAUUUGAGUGGUACAGGAACUAAGUCAAAGGUUGCUUUUGAGUGGUCACAUUUGAAGACUUUAAAGUUCUUACCUUAAUUUCCACGGUGUGGGAAAGACCUAGAAUAUUGUGUUUUCACCUAAACAUUAAGAAAUAGCAAAAAAUAUGAAUAAAAUGAAUAACUACCAUCAAAACAUAAAAACCUCUAAACAUGGCAAUAAAACGGUAGUUCCAUAAACAUUUAUUUUGAAUGAGUGGCUCCAUAAACUUGAAAACUUAGUUUCGUAACAUUUACUCAUGACUAACACAUUGAUAAGGACAUGUAGGACAGUCAAUAAGACUUUUUUUCAAGAACCAAUUAACAAUCAAGAAGAUUAAACUGCGUACAGAAUUGGGUUGGAUGAUCUAAUAUUCAAUAGUUAAGCUUGUUGCAGCAUGCAGUCUAUAUAAUAGGAGAAAAAAGCUACGUUAUUAACAUACCAUAACUUCAUAAUUCACUAUGAAAGCACACAUAAUCUUUUGGCUUUUCUUUAUACCAUUCUGCUUAAUAAAUUCCAGCUCUCACAAUUUUGUUGUGAAAGGCUACUGUCUUGGCCAUCAACGUUCGUUGUUGCUCCAAUUGAAAAACAACCUUAUAUUCAACCCCGAAAAAUCUUCAAAACUAGUGCAUUGGAAUCAAAGUGAAUAUGAUUGUUGCAAAUGGCAUGGGGUAACAUGCAAAGAUGGACAUGUUACAGCCCUUGAUCUUAGUCAAGAGUCUAUUUCCGGAGGACUUAAUGAUUCAAGUGCUAUUUUCAGCCUGCAAUAUCUGCAGAGUCUGAAUUUGGCAUUUAAUGACUUUCAUUCUGUGAUUCCUAAAGACUUGCAUAAGCUGAAAAAUUUGAGGUAUCUCAACUUUUCUGAUGCUGGCUUUGAGGGUCAAGUCCCGAAAGAAAUUUCUCACCUUACAAGGUUGGUUACUCUUGAUUUGUCUUCUUUAAUUACUUCACAUCAGAACAUAAAACUUGAGAAUCCAAAUAUAGAGACUCUUUUGAAAAACCUCACAGAUAUCACAGAAUUGUAUCUAGAUGGUGUAGCAAUAUCUGCCAGCGGAGAAAAAUGGGUUCGUGCUUUAUCUUCACUGAAGGGUCUUCGUGUUUUGAGCAUGUCAUCAUGCAAUCUCUCUGGACCUUUUGAUUCUUCACUAUCCAAGCUUCAAUCACUCUAUUUUCUAAAAUUGAACCACAAUAAUUUGUCAAGCAUACUGCCAGAUUCCUUUGCAAAUUUCUCCAAUUUAACCAUCCUACAACUAAGUAGUUGUGGCUUGAAUGGUUUUUCCCCAAAACAUAUCUUUCAAUUACAAACAUUAAAGUUUCUUGACAUAUCAGAUAAUCAAUAUCUCCAUGGUUCUUUACCAGACUUUCCACCGCUUGCAGCUCUUCAAUACUUGAAUCUAAGCCAUACAAAUUUCUCAGGAUCGCUUCCAAAUUCUUUUUCCAAUCUGAAGCAUUUGUCUACUAUUGAUCUAUCUUACUGUCAAUUCAAUGGAACACUUCCUAGAUCAAUGUCAAAACUCACCCAACUUCUUUAUCUCGAUCUAUCUUCGAAUAAUCUAACAGGUCCACUCCCUUCUUUCAAUAUGUCCAAAAACCUCACAUAUAUAUCUCUUUUUCUCAAUCAUUUAAGUGGGAAUUUACCAUCUGAUCAUUUCGAGGGCCUCAUUAAUCUUGUAAGCGUCAAUUUAGGGUUCAAUUCUUUCAACGGAAAUGUUCCCUCAUCUGUGCUUAAGCUCCCAUAUUUGCGAGAAUUGAAGCUUCCCUAUAAUCAACUUAAUGGUACUUUGGGUGAAUUCGAUAGUACAUACUCAUCAGUAUUGGAGAUACUUGAUUUGACCAGUAAUAAUUUGCAAGGACCUAUUCCUUUGUCUGUCUUUAACAUUAAAACACUUCGUUUCAUUCAACUUUCGUACAACAAGUUUAAUGGCACGAUAUACUUGGAUAUCAUUAGAAGGUUAAGAAAUUUAACUAUACUAGGGCUCUCACAUAACAACCUUUAUGUUGAUGUCAACAUCAAACUUGAUCAUGACUUGUUGCCCUUUCCUAAGAUGAGAAUUCUAAUGUUGGAUUCUUGCAAGCUGAGAGAAAUCCCUAGUUUCUUGAGAAACCAGUCCACGUUAUUAGCUCUUCAAAUAUCUGAGAACAAGAUUGAAGGACUAAUACCCAAUUGGAUUUGGCAACUUGAUUCUCUCAUUACCUUGAAUCUUUCCCAUAACUAUUUGAUAGGUAUGGAGAGAAGUGUUUCAAAUUUCAGUUCUAACCUUUUAAUAGGUGAUUUUAGUUAUAACCAACUCCAAGGGCCUAUUUCUUUCAUUCCCGGUUACGCAAUAUAUUUGGACUACUCAAGCAAUAGAUUAAACUCUUUCAUUCCGCCAGACAUUGGAAACCACAUCCCUUACAUACGUUUGUUGUUUCUUUCAAACAACAAUUUUCAGGGACAGAUCCAUGAAUCUUUUUGUAAUGCAUCUACUCUAAACUUGCUAGAUCUUUCCCACAAUAACUUUGUUGGGACGAUUCCCAAGUGUUUCGCAGCACUGAGUAGUAGUCUCAAGAUGUUGAAUUUUGGUGGAAACAAGCUCCGAGGUCAUAUUCCUACUACUAUGUUUCAGAACUCAUGUGCACUAAGGCUUUUGAAUCUAAAUGACAAUCUUUUAGACAGUAGUGUACCAAAAUCAUUGGUCAAUUGCAAAGAACUAGAAGUCCUUAACCUUGGAAAGAAUUCAUUAACCGGAAAAUUUCCAUGUUUUUUGAGCAAAAUUUCCUCCCUAAGAGUAAUGGUUUUAAGGUCAAAUAAGUUCCAUGGGUCUAUUAAAUGCUCUAAUAGCUUUGGUGAUUGGAAGAUGCUUCAUAUCGCUGAUCUAGCCUCCAAUAACUUCGGUGGAACAUUAUCACCUGCACUCUUAAAUAGUUGGAAAGCAAUGAUGCGCGAUGAGGACGAGCUUGGGCCAGAAUUCGGCCAUUUGUUUUUUGAUAUUGUUGAUAUCUUUCAUCCUAUGCGUUUCAAGGAUGUACUACAAAAUUUGAACAAAGUUCUUGCUUUGAAAGUGGCUAAACUUGUUGCAAACAUGUCUCACUCUAUUCUUGACCAGGCAUAUCUUGAUGGUGGUUCGAUUUUGGCAAAUCUUGUUCGUUAUCAGGAUUCAAUUAUUAUUGUCAACAAGGGUCAACAGAUGAACCUGGUAAAAAUUCAAAGUGCCUUCACUUAUAUAGAUAUGUCAAACAACUAUUUGGAGGGGCCAAUACCUUAUGAGAUAACGCAAUUGAAAGCAUUGAAUGCUCUAAACUUGUCACAUAAUGCAUUAUCGAGCCAUAUACCAUCAUCGGUGGGGAAUUUGAAGAAUCUUGAAUCUUUGGACUUGUCAAACAACUCCUUAAAUGGAAAGAUUCCUCAAGAGCUUUCAAGUAUAUAUUUCCUUGAAUAUAUGAACCUCUCGUUCAAUCACCUUGUGGGACGAAUUCCGUUGGGUACUCAAAUACAAUCAUUUGAUACAGAUUCCUUCAAAGGGAACGAAAGGUUAUGUGGACCUCCAUUGACCAACAAUUGCAAUGAUGAUGGAGUGCAAGGGCAACCGCCACCAGCAUCUGAAUUAUCUCAUUCUCAUAAUGACAGUUCAAUCGAUUGGAAUUUCUUAAGUUUGGAGUUGGGAUUUAUUUUUGGCUUUGGAAUUUUCAUCCUCCCCCUUAUUUGCUUGAUGAAAUGGAGGUUGUGGUAUUCCAAACAUGCAGAUGAAAUGCUUUACAGGUUCAUCCCCCAGCUAGAUUUUGUGUAUGAACAGCAUGAAGGGAAGAGGUAUAGAACUCUGAGGUGGAGGUACUGAUUGUUUACAGGCAGUAGUGUUAAAAUAAGGAUUCACUAGAUUGUAUCCAUUAAAGUAUAGUUAUAAAGAAAAUAAUUAAAAUGGUAUUGAAAUGUAUAUCCUUCAGUUUAAAUUUUGUUGAGUUGUACUUGUAAAUCAGUUAUGUCAUUAUUCACACACAUGUUUUUGUGUAUAUUUAGUAUUACUAUAUUGAGAUUCGCAUAUACUCCGCACGCUAUUUGGUUGGUUGAUUGACUGUAUCUUUUGUUUGUAUUUCAAAAUUUGACAACAUAAUCUAGUAGAAUUAGAAUGUUAUUCUGUGUAUUUGUGUAGUUUUGACAUAGUUUAUUCAAAUUGUGCAACAAAAAAACAUGACAAAAUUGGAAACAUAAUGGACAUCAAGUAAAUCACUAAACUGAAUAUAUUCAAAGAGACUCGUACUGUAUACCUAAGUUUCAUAAAAGAGGAAAUGAGUGGAAAUGUAUACCUUAUUUGCAGGGAAAUUAGAAUUCCUCUUAAAGUAGGCACUUUCCUUCAUCUAAACCAAGUUUGUCAAAAAUUUGCUAGUUUUCGCAUAAGUUGAUCUUGUGCUUCUGUACAACAAAAUAACAAAUUGAAUGAUAAAUGUUAGUUGUUAUUUUCUUAUCACUCUUGGUACUUCAAAAGUUAGUUAUAAUAAACACAAGACUAAGUAACCACAAACCAAAAGUUGAAAAUUAAAAAGCAAAAACCUCUUUUAUAUGACUACUUUGCUUCUCAGAUUACUGUUGUUAAGUCUAAGAAAUCUGCAAGUUACGUGAUAACUCACCACUGCAGUUAGUUUGCUAGCUAUUUUCAUAAUAAUGACUCUGUAUUAGAGUAUAUGCUAGUUUCUCUGCUGUUAUUUCAGUUUUAUAUAUACCAGUUAUAUAUGUACUUCAAAAGUUAGUUUAACAAAAUAUUAUCAUUUAGUUUCAUCUUUCACUCUGCAUUUUGUCCUUAUCAUUGAACUUUCACCACAUUAUCUAUUGAAAAAUGAUGGGUGAAUGCUUUUGUGCAUUAUUCCUCAGCUUAAGGCUGGUUUUUAUAGUGAGGAUGGAAUUAAUUCUCUCCUUGAGUUCAGCUUAAGGUCUAAUAAACUCCAUGGUUCUAUUGGGUGCCCAAAUAACACUGGUGAUUGGGAGAUGCUUCAUAUUGUAGAUAUAGCCUCCAAUAAUUUGAGCGGCACAAUAUCAGGUACAUUGUUAAAAAGUUGGAAGGCAAUGAUGCGUGAUGGAGGUGUGCUUGGGCCAGAACUUGGUCAUUUGUAUUUUGAAAUUGUCGAUAACUUCCAUCCUAUGAGUUUCCAGGCUAUAUUACCACAUUUGAACAAAUAUCUUGCACUGAAAUUGCUUAAACUUGUUGCGAACAUUUCUCUCUCUAUCGUUGAUCAAGGUUUUGCUGAUAUUAACUCAUUGGAUCUUGAUCAUUAUCAAGACUCAAUUAUUGUUGUCAACAAAGGUAGACAAAUGAAGUUUGUCAAAAUUGAAAUGGCAUUCACUUAUGUGGAUAUAUCAAACAACUAUUUGGAGGGGCCAAUACCUGAUGAGCUAAUGGAAUUGGAAGUAUUGAAUGCUCUGAACUUAUCACAUAAUGCUUUUAUGGGUCAUAUAUCGUCAUCUGUGGGAAAUUUGAAGAAUCUUGAGUCUAUAGACUUUUCAAACAAUUUCUUCAAUGGAGAGAUUCCUCAAGAGCUUUCUAGUUUAUCUUAUAUGGGAUAUCUAAAUCUCUCGUUCAAUCACCUAGUGGGGCGAAUUCCAUUAGGUACUCAAGUCCAAACCUUUGAUGCAGAUUCUUUUGAAGGGAAUGAAGGAUUAUGUGGACCUCCACUGACCAGCAAUUGCAGCGAUGAUGGAAUCCAGGGGCUGCCACCACAAGCAUCCGAAUCAUCUCAUUCUCAUACCGAGAGUUCAAUUGAUUGGAAUUUCUUAAGUGUGGAGUUGGGAUUUAUUUUCGGCUUUGGAGUUUUCAUUCUUCCUAUUAUUUUAUGGGGAAAAUGGAGGUUGUGGUAUUCCAAACAUGUAGAUGAAAUUCUUUACAAGUUCAUAUCCCGACUUGAUUUUGUGUAUGAACAGCAUGAAGGGAAGAGGUACAGAACUUUAAGGUGGAGAUACUGAUUGCAUAACUCUUGGGUUCAAUACUAUAGCUCCAACAAUUUGCACUCCUCUAUUAUGUGUGUUUGUAUUUAAUUUGCUCGUCUUUGCCAGCAGUAUUUAGUUUCAAAAUAAGAAUUCACUAUAUUUGUGUCCAUUAGUCAGGUAGAGCCUUGUUUUAUAACAAAUAAUAAUUAAAUAGUUUUAAAAUGUUUAUAUCAUAUGGUGUUUAGCGGUGUUUUUGGUAAACAAUAAGGGCUGAUUUUGAUUAUUACAAGCAGGAUAUCAAACUAGAAAUCCUAGUACAUUGAGUGCAUUGUUUUUCAAGAAAAAAGAGAAAAGAGUUUGUGUUCAAGUUCAUAGGUUGCUUUACUAACAAGACGAGAUUGUAUGACAUCUUUCGACAGAAAAAGGUUUUUAAAAGCAGUGAAUGCAAAGUAAAGGCAGAAAGUUAAAAUUGCAUAAACUUAAAAUAAAAUAAAAAAAGAUAAAUUGUAUUGCAUUAAAAAUAAAGGUAGUUCGACAAAUCAUUUACAUACAUUAUGUAUGACUCUUUUCUCUUGUCACGACCCAAAAUCUAAAAUCGUGACCGGCGCACGAACUAGAACAUCCUAGUCCGGCAAGCCUAUUGACGACACUUGACAAACUAUAAUUUAAACAAUUUUCAAAUUUGACUUUCAUAAAAAAAAAUAUUCACUGAAAUUUCGACAGAGCUUCUACUGUAUUUUUAACAUUUCCAAGAUUUGAAUCUUGUUUUAAGAAAAUUUGUUUCAUCAGCCCGUAUCUCAAAUAACUUUUUGUUCAUAUUUGUACAACUCAGAAUAAAACAUCAUAGGCUUCAAGUAGCUGCAGAUACAUCAAUUGACAUUAAAAUAUAAAAAGGAGCCAACCAAGGAGGCCUACCAAAAGUGACACUGCGAAAACUUUGAAUAUGCUAGCUAGCAGCUUUCUUCAUAGCUACUUGGAAAUCUGAAGGAAACAAAAUAGAAAGUAAAAGAGUAAGUCAUAAGGACUUAGUGAAAGACAACAACCACUACCCACUAGAAGAGAAACACACAAGGACACGAUUAUUUAGUUUUCUCAAAUCAAAUUUUAAAUAUAUAACAAGCUCACACUAAAGUGUGCCAUGAAAACUCAUAAAACUUUAUAAAUUUAUUAAACCAAACAAGACUAUAUCAAAAAUCCAUCAAAAGUGAAACCAAAUCUACCACUUUAAAGCAAAUAUAGAAAUAGAGUAUAAUGAGAAGGAAUGAAAAUAAUCAAAUCCAAAUAGAAUAUAAAAAAAAAAAAAAUCGAAUUUAAUGAAAUGGAAUCAAAAUAAUCACUUCAAAGAAAAUAUAAAAUUGUAUUCAAUUUCAUAAUACCAAAAUAAUCAACUUUAAAUAAAGUAUAGAAAUCCAACUUUUGUAAAAAUAAAUAAAUGGGUGAAUCGAGAACUAUCUCCAUCUUGUUGAUAGUCCUCUCCUCCUAAUGGUGGCCUUUCCAUAGGGGCGGCUCCAUCUAACGGAUCACUCUUUUCUCUCGACUCAAAACAAAAUGUACAACAUUUUUUGGUUUGGGAGUUUACAUCUCAUUGAUAGCCCUCUCCUCCUGAGCAGACUUUCCAUAGGGGCGACUCUAUCUAACGGAGUAACUCUAGCUACCUAACCAAAAUCACAUAGUAGGUGCACGUAUGUCGUCGUCAUUAUAACCGUAAUUUUCAAAACACCAUACUUAAAACAUAUGUCUAAAACCAUAUUUCACAAUUAUAUAAGGAACCUUAUGUCAAAAUACUUUCCCCAAAACUCAAUUGAAAAGCCACAAUAUAAGUAAAUCCAAAUUCAAAUCCAAAUCCAAAUUUGGUACAUAUUAAUAUCAAAUCCUUUCAACAAAAACUUAUAUUUCAAACCGUGCUUUACAACGUACGAAAACAAGUGCCAAGAUGCAUGAAAUCAAUUUUCAAUUCUAAAAUCCAUUACUUUAUAAAUCAUAAAUCAUAGGUCAAUCCAAACCCUAAAUCUGAAGUAUAAUAGUAUCAAAAUAAUUUUCAAAACAAAAACAUAUUUCUCAAAAACCAUUUUUGUCAACAUCUCAAAACUUAUGCUAGUAGUAUAUGCAACCAAAUCUCAAUUUCAAAACCUUUGCUCAAUAAAUCAUAGACAAGUUCAAAUAGAGACCAUAGAUUCAUGACCUUAUACAUAAAUUUCAAUGACAAGAAAAAUGUUCAAAAGGGUGUGCUUCCCGUUUUGAUAAAUACUUUAACUUAUAAAAUCAUCAAAAUAACAAUAAUAACAAUAAUUUCCUUAAAAAAUAAUAAUUAAAAUAUAUGAUAAUGAUCGUCAUCAAUUCACAAUUUUGGAGAAUCAAUUUCGUUCCUAGCAAUGCUUUCCAAUGACCACCGAAGCAAUUUUCACACGAUGGAAACGGUUACAAUUGAAGACUUUGAAGGUGUUACCCUAAUUUCCACGCGAUGGAAACGGUCACAUUUGAAGACUUUAAUGGUGUGUGUUACCCUAAUUUCCACGCAAUGGAAAAGACCUAAAAUCAAGUAUGAAAGCCCAUAUUGUGAUUUCUUUCUUUUAGGAUAAUUCUAGAUUUCCAAAAAUAUUCAUCAAAAACAAGUUCAUAAGAAACACUAGAUUUCCAAAUUCUUUCCUUUUAUGAUUAAUUCUAGAUUUCCAAAAUAUACAUAAAAAAAAAAGUUCAUAAGAAAAACUAGAUUUCCAAACUAAAUGGAUUUUUUUUUUUUGUAGUGUCCAGAGUUUGAACACCAGACCUUGCAUACAUUAUGCAUGAUCCUUACCAACUGAGUUAAGUUCACGGGGACAAACUAAAUGGAAUUUAACUUAUCCUAUAACCUUCCUUAAAAAAAAAAAAAAAUUAUCCUUUAACCUUGACAAGGGUGAUCUUUUGAUAUUGAGAUGUGAAAAUUAAUGUCCAGCAAGUUACUCCUCCAUGGUAUGUGUGGAUGUCGUUAAAUUCUUAUGUCCAGCAUUAUGAAAUUAAAAUAAUGAUUUUUUACGUUAGCUGCAAGGGUUUUAGGGUUGCCUCAGCCGUCGGAAGAAUAGUUUUAAAACUCGAAUCGGUAAUCGACUCGGUAGAGGUAUUGGUUCACUGAAUCAAUGGUCGAACCACUGGAUCAUUGAUCGAACUGCAAGAAAAAAUCGGAUUAAAUCGGUUGACUCGAUUGUAUCACUCGAUCUUUAUAUUAAAAAUCUCGUAUUACACUGAAUAAUUCUGUUCUCUAAAAUUUUUAUCACAACUAUAAAAAGUGAAAAAAUUAACAUAGUUUCACAAAUUUAUUUUUCAAAUAUAAUCUAUUGAUUGUGAUACAAUUAUCAAUCAAAUACAAAAAUUAAUUUUAACCACAAAACUGAUUUUCGUAAAAAGAAAUAUGCUAUUAAUCACAACAAUAUUUACAAGUAAGUGUAUUUUUUUGGUGUUAAAAAUAAUUGUAUAUAAUUUUUAAGUAUAAAUUGCAAUAUGUCGUUAAGCUAAAAUUAUGAAAAAUAUCAUUUAAACAAUAAAAAUACGAAUUAAGACAGUAGCACAAUUAUGAAAUAUAUCAUUAAAAAUAAUUGUGAAUUUCAAUGUUUUUAUAUAAAUGAAAUAUGAAUUAUAGUGAAAUUUUGCAAUUGAAUUUAAUAUAAUAAAUAAGAAUCAAAAUAAUAACACAACACAACUGGAGGCAUGGCGUGGUGGUUGGAGCACUCCAAUUUUUAAGGUGAUGUUGCCAAUUUUAUUCCCUCUCCUAGCAAAGUGGAAUUUCUUUUAAAAAAAAAUAUCGCGCCUGUUUAUUGUUCCAAAAAAUUUUGUGAUGUUCCUAUAGGACUAGACUGCCCGUUUCUAGGGUCAAUAUCCUCUCCAUUUAUAAAUUUCUUCAUUUGUUCCAUUUAGAGAGAUAAAGACACAUUAAAAGUAAAAAAUAAUUAAUGAUGGUGGGACCCACCACUUAUUUUUUGUGUCUAUCUCUCUCCAAAUUGCAACAAAUGGAAAAAUUUAUAAAUGAAGAGGAUUUUGACCCCAUUUCUAUAGGUCUGUUUUUUUUUUUUACAAAUAAAUAUUUUCGUCUAAAUUAAAUAGUUUUUUAAUAACAAAAGUUUUAGACUGUUUUUUUUAUAUGCACCACACAAUAUUUAUAGCAAAAUAAAAGAAAACUUCAAAUUAUAUUGUCAAAUUAACAAGUCUUGCAAACAUGUGAAACUAACAUCUUACAAACUAACAAAGCAACAUCGAGAUUUUAUUUCAGGUCGAAAGAGAAGAGCAAAAUAGACAAUCGUAAAAUUGCAAACAAAAUCGAAGGGUUUUACUCAACUACUUUUGUAGAAUCGAUAUAUGAAAUCGUAAAAUCGCAAUCAAAGUCGAUGGAUUUGACCAAAAGAAAAAUACUAAAUAUAUGUUAAAAAUGGUAUAUAAUCAUAAAUGACUUAGUUUAUAAGAAAUCGUAAAAUCUCAAUCAAAAUCGAUGGGUUUUGCCUAUUUUGGAAUUCUACUAUGGAUUUGAGUCGUUGAAGAUGAAGAAAGUCGCAAAAUCCUGAAUUUUAGGAUUUAAGUCGGGAUUUUGACAACAAUGUACGAUAUAUAAAUUCUUAAGAGAGAGGUUCAAAUGUUGGCUCGGUGAUCAACUUUUGAAGCUAGCUACACAAAAAAAAAUUCUUAAGAGAUGGGUUAUUAUCAGAACCAUUUAACAAUCAAGAAAAUAAUUCAAACGUAGACUUGGUUUUAAGAUUGCACAAUGUGCGGUCUCAAACAGGCUCUAUUGCGUGUGAGACUGGGUUGAAUGUUCAAAUCAAUAGUUAAGCUAUCUGUUGCAUGCAAUCUAUAAAAAGGAGAAAAAGAUACGUUAUUUACAUAUCACUACAUCCUAAAAGUCAUUUUCUUCUGUGUUGGAGAUGAUCGAUUUGACAAAUAAUAAUCUGCAAGGUCCAAUUCCUUUGUCUGUCUUUAACCUUAGAACACUUUGUGGCAUUGAACUUUCAUCCAACAAGUUUAAUGGCACAAUACAGUUUGGACGUCAUUCAAAGGCUAAGUAAUUUAAUUAUACUAAGGCUAUCACAUAACAAUUUGUCGGUUAAUGUGAACUUUAGAGAUGAUCAUGACUUGUCACCACUUCCAAACUUGAAAAUUCUACGGUUGGACUCUUUACCUAUCUGACAACAUGAUAGAUGGACUAAUACCUAAUUCGAUUUGGAAACUUGAUAAUCUCAUUAACUUGAAUCUUUCCCAGAAUUCGUUGACAGAUUUUGAAGGAAAUUUUUUUAACUUCAGUUCUAACCUUUUUGAGCUUGAUCUUAGUUCAAACAAACUACAAGGGCCUAUUCCUUUCAUUCCACCAGACAUUGGAAACCAUCUCCCUUACAUACUUAUUUUGUUUCUUUCAAACAACAGUUUUCAGGGAAAAAUCCAUGAAUCUUUCUGCAAUGCAUCGAGUCUAAGCCUGCUAGAUCUUUCCCAUAAUAAUUUCUUUGGGACAAUUCCCAAGUGUUUUGCAGCACUAAGUAACCGUCUUCGGAUGUUGAAUUUUCGUGGAAAUAAACUCCAAGGUCAUAUUCCUAAAACUAUGUUUCUAAAUUCAUGUGCACUGAGGAUUUUCGAUCUAAAUGACAAUCAUUUAGACGGCACUAUACCAAAAUCCAUAGUAAAUUGUCGGGAACUACAAGUCGAUAACAUCGGAAAUAAUGCACUAACUGGAAGAAUUCCAUGUUUCUUGAGUAAAAUUCCAACCUUGAGAAUCAUGGUUUUAAGGUCAAAUAAAUUCCACGGGUUUAUUGGAUGCCCAAAUAGCACUGGUGAUUGGAAGAUGCUUCAUAUUGUUGAUCUAGGCUCCAAUAACUUUAGUGGCAUGAUAUCAGCAUCACUCUUAAACAGUUGGAAAGCAAUGAUGCGUGAUGAAGAUGUGUUUGGGCCAGAAUUCGGUAACUUGUCCCAUAAUGGGACAUAUACCAUCAUCUGUGGGGACUUUGAAGAAUCUUGAGUCUAUGGAUUUGUCAAAUAACUCCUUGAAUGGAGAGAUUCCUCCAGAGUAUAUGAAUCUCUUGGCAAAUUCCUUUGGGCACUCAAAUUCAAUAAUUUGAUGUAGAUUCCUUCAAAGGAAAUGAAGGGUUAUGUGGACCUCCACUGACCAACGAUUGCAACGAUGAUGGAGUGCAAGGGCUGCCGACACCAGCAUCCGAGUUAUCUCAUUCUCAUAAUGACAGUUCAAUUGACUGGAGUUUCUUAAGUGUGGAGUUGGGAUUUAUUUUUGGGUUUGGAAUUUUCAUCCUCCCCCUUAUUUGCUUGAUGAGAUGGAGGUUGUGGUAUUCCAAGCAUGCAGAUGAAAUGCAUUACAGGUUGAUCCCCCAGCUAGAUUUUGUGUAUGAACAGCAUGAAGGGAAGAGGUAUAGAACUCUAAGGUGGAGAUGCUAGUCAAUUAACUCACGGUGGAUCCAUCAUUUGUAUGCUUCUCAUGUUAGUAUUGUUGAAGAAGAACGAAUCUGAUAGCUAUGUGAUAGCUUAAUGUUGCAGUUAGUUCUUUAGCAAUUUUCAGAAAUAAUCACUUUGUAUUAGAAUGUAUGAAAGUUUCUCUGCUACCAUUUCAGUUCUAUUAUAAUAAAUUUAAUAACAGUUGUAUUGUAUGUGUGCUUCAAAAGUUAUUUAUUUCCAUACUAUAUGAAUUCAAUUUCAUCCUUUUCUGCUACAAUUUUGUUCUUAUAAAUGAACUUUGUUAUAUUAUGUUACAUAUUUUUAAUCACGAAUCAUGAAACCACCAUGACAACAUAAAGUUAGAAUAUCAAUCAAACUUGCAUCAGAAGGCAAAAAUUAGGCUCCCUACCUUAAAAGAGUUCCUUCACAGAUAAGAAAUAUCAAUGACAGUUACAAAAUAGAGGAGAUAAAUAGCAUCCAAUGUGAGAAAGAAAUUAACUCCGAUUUCCAAUGUGAUUUCUGAUCGCCGUGACUUUAGAUUUUCUAAAAGGCUUAUAGAAACUAAACUAAGAUGUUCAAAGCCUAAGAUCUCAAGAGAACAGCCUUCUUCCUAUGAUAGUAUCCAACAACUUGAUGUACCAGCCAACACAAUCAAUUCUGUAUGAAAUAAAUAAUACAUUUCUCUUUUUCAUAACAUCUAUUUCAUCUUAGUUUUUUAGUUCUAUUUUCUACUAACAUUCAUCAGCAUAUAUAUAGAUGGAAUUUUUAAUUAUAUACAUAUUUUGAGAUUUGAUGUAGGCAUAUCAAGUUGAAAAGGAAGGUUGUGAUCAAGUACAAUCGCCAUCAAGAGCCCCAGUACAAGUUGCUCAUCCUCUCACAUUGUAACCAAAUUUGGGGCAUAAACAGGCUGAAAAUGUUGAAAACUUAACAGCAUGUAUAGCCGAGAAUACGGGAGAACAAGGUGAGGCUGAAAUGUCCUUGUCCAAAAAUUCAAAUCAAAUUGCUGGACAUAACACAAUUGAAGAAACUAUCCCUCAUCAAAAUGAACCUUUGGCAGAGGAAACUCAAGCCUCAAAUAGAUUUGAGGAAGCAACAAAUAUGAAGUCUAUUUCUAGAGCUGGAUCAUCAUCCCCAUCUUUAAGAGUCCUCAAACUUACUGAAGUGGUUGCCAUGUGGAGAAAUGAUGAUGGGGUUUAUUCGGAAGUAAAAAGCCAGUCUGAAGACACGGUUUAUGGAUAUAAAGUGAAGCCAGAAUUCAUGCCUAUAUUAAGAAAAAUUAUCGACAAGCAUGGAUAUAUUUCUAAGAAUUGUGUGGCAAGGUUGGUGAAAGACCGUUCAAAAUUGUUGGAGAUAAUAUGUGAAAUCUUACACGAUUUUCGAGAUAUGGAUCUUACAAAAGUCAAACAAAGUUUCGUAGAAAGCAAGAUUUCUCUUAGUAAGGGACUACAUAAAGGUACGAAUUGCAGCUUGAAUGGCUUUCCAUGAGUCUAUCUGAGGUAAUUGGCGCAAUUAAAAUUAUGGAUAAGUUUGAUAUUCUAGAAGAGAAAAGAGACAAUAAUAGCAAGCUCCUUGAAGAUGCUGAGAGUGAAUUGGAAGUUUUUCAAGAACAAAAGAAGGUAAAGACAGAGAAGAUGAAGGAAUUGUUAGAGAAUAUGAGAGAAUUGUCAAAGAAUUUGGAAGAAAUAUGUGUUAAAGAGACUGCUUGCAAAGAAAGAUUGACUGCAGCAAAGAAUGAAUCUACCUCGAUAUCUCAAACAGACCGGUAUUACACAUCUAAAGCCAGACGCUUUUUGAAACGCUCAGUGAUGGAUGGUUUAAUUUAGUGUUGCAAUUUCAUAUUCCUGUUUCUUCUUUAUUCAUGAUGAUUGUUUUAGGAUUUGUUUACUGUGUUUAUGACUAUGUUGAUUUUUAAACACUUCAGUGAGCAUUUAAGUUCUUGAAGUGUUUAAAAACUUAUGUUUAAAUACUUCAAGAAUUUAAAUGCUCACUGAAGUGUUUAAAAAUCAACAUAGUCAUAAACACAGUGAACAAAUCCUAAAACAACCACCAUGAAUAAAACAGAAAUAUGAAACUGCAACACUAAAUUAAACCAUCCAUCACUGAGCGUUUCAGAAAGCGACUGACUUUAGAUGUGCAAUACCGGUAUGUUUGAGAUAUCGAGGUAGACUCCUUCUUUAUUGUGGUCAAUCUUUCUUUGCAAGCAGUCUCUCUAACACAUAUUUCUUCCAUAUUUUCUGACAACUCUCUCAUCUUCUCUAACAAUUCCUUCAUCUUCUCUAUCACUACCUUCUUCUCUUCUUGAAAAACUUCCAAUUCACUCUCAGCAUCUUCAAGGAGUUUGCUAUUAUUGUCUCUUUUCUCUUCUAGAAUAUCAAACUUAUCCAGAAUUUUAAUUGCGCCAAGUACCUCAGCUAGAAUCAUGGAAAGCCAUUCAAGCUCCAAUUUCGUACCUUCAUGUAGUCCCUUAACAAGAGAAAUCUUGUUUUCCACAAAACUUUCUUUGACUUUUCUAAGAUCCAUAUCUCGAAAAUCAUGUAAGAUUUCACGGAUUAUCUCCAAUAAUUUUGAACGGUCUUUCGCCGACCUUGCCACACAAUUCUUAGAAAUAUCUUCAUGCUUGACGGUAAUUUUUCUUAAUAUACGCAUGAAUUCUGGCUUCACUUCAUAUCUAUAAACCGUGUCUUCAGGUUGGCUUUGUACUUCCGAAUGAACCCCAUCACCAUCAUCAUUUCCCAACAUGGCAACCACUUCAGUAAGUUUGAGGACGCUAAAAGAUGGGCAUGAUGAUGAUCCUUGUCUACAUCAAACAUGAAGUAUAUUUCUAGAGCUAGAUCAUCAUCCCCAUCUUCUAGCGUCCUCAAACAUACUGAAACGGUUGCCAUGUUGAGAAAUGAUGAUGGUGAUGGGGUUCAUUCGGAAGUACAAAGCCAGCCUGAAGACACGGUUUAUCGAUACGAAGUGAAGCCAGAAUUCAUGCCUAUAUUAAGAAAAAUUACCAGCAAGCAUUGAUAUAUUUCUAAGAAUUGUGUGGCAAGGUUGGUGAAAGACCGUUCAAAAUUGUUGGAGAUAAUAUGUGAAAUCUUACACGAUUUUCGAGAUAUGGAUCUUACAAAAGUCAAACAAAGUUUCGUGAAAAGCAAGAUUUCUUUUGUUAAGGGACUACAUAAAGGUACGAAUUGCAGCUUGAAUGGCUUUCCAUGAGUCUAUCUGAGGUACUUGGCGCAAUUAAAAUUAUGGAUAAGUUUGAUAUUCUAGAAGAGAAAAGAGACAAUAACAGCAAGCUCUUUGAAGAUGCUGAGAGUGAAUUGGAAGUUUUUCAAGAACAAAAGAAGGUAAGACAGAGAAGAUGAGAGAAUUGUCAAAGAAUUUGGAAGAAAUAUGUGUUAAAGAGACUGCUUGCAAAGAAAGAUUGACCGCAGCAAAGAAUCAGUCUACCUCGAUAUCUCAAACAGACCGGUAUUGCACAUCUAAAGUCAGUCGCUUUCUGAAACGCUCAGUGAUAAUCCAUCAUUGAGCGUUUCAGAAAUCGACUGACUUUAUAUAAUUAACAACAGUGAAAGUGUUAACUAAAUUUUGAAAGUUAUAAUUUGAAAUCUAAACAGAAACACAUAAUCAUAAGCAUAUUACAACAGACAGAGUACGUAAGGAAUAUAAAAUAUGCAACACAAUUCCUCUUCAUUUGUGAGCCAUAAAAGAGAAAUUCAAAUAGAAGAGUGCAAUUGUCUAAUUGAGGAUCAUAACUUAUUUUAGGAGAAAGACAUGAUUUUUGAUAGAACACGAUGGUGUCGUUUGAUUCAUGUAGCCCGAACCCACUUAGUGGCACCAUCACCUAGACUAUUUUAUAAACUUAUAAAAUCUUAUUGGAUUGCUAGUUCAAAUUUAUUAAAGUGAGGGGAUUAAUUACUAAUGAUAUGCCCUAAAAAAGUACUAACUAACAAAUGUAAUCAUCUACCAAAAAAGUACUAAAGCUUUCUUCCAAAACCCCAUUUUCACAUUAAGCUCGAUCAUGAACUGUAACAUACUAUUUUGUUCCAUAAGCAGAGGUACCUAUAUUCAAAUUUAACCAUAAUAGUACUUACAUGUGAAAGAGAGACAAAGCUUGCCAAUCUCCUCUGUAGUGUUCCUCUCGAUGGUUGUUCUCAGACAUGUAGAGAUGUAGAGAUGACAAAAUCAGCUGAAGCACAUAUAUGCCGUCUAGUUGUAUCACAUUCCUCUUCGGCCACUGUAAGUCAUGUCCAAUGUAUGUAGAUGAGGAGUUAUGUUACUUCCUAUGCUCAAAAUAAUUUCAUUUAUUAGAAGCUAACCACACUUCAAUAACCUUAAAAGCUAAUUAUUGUUACAAGUAUUGAUGAAAAGGCAGAAAUUGAAAGCAAUAACUUUCACCAGAAAAACACUAUGCAAAUAACUGUAGAAACUUAUGCUUACAACAACAAUCAGAGACCAAAAACUAUAACUACAAAUUACAAUCAAUUUGAACACAUUUCAUAUUAUCAUUUUAAAUAGUAGUAAUAGAUUGUGAACUUUUGAAGGAACGAUUCAAAUGUGAUGUGAGUUAACGUUUCCAGAAAAAUAUUUUUGUUCUUUUCAAAAAACAAAACACCAAUAGUAGUAAUAGAUUGUGAACUUUGUUAUUUUUCUAUAUAGACUAAGCUUAUAAAAGAAGUCCAUUAAGAAUUUGUUUAAUUUUUUCUUUUUUUAAUAAACUUAGUUUAUAUACUUUUUAUUGUCCACGCCAAAAAAGUAGUAAUAGAUUGUGAACUUUGUUAUUUUUCUAUAUACAUAAAUGGGUUAAUUUUUAAUCCCUAUAAAUAUUCACAGUUUUGUUUUUAGUCUCUACAAAAUAAAAUCACACUUUUUAGUCUCUGUGACAUUUUCCUUAAGCAUUUUAGAGACUCAAAAUGAUGUUGGAAAAUUUUUAUAGAGACUAGUAAUGUUGAUGGAAAAUUUUAUAAGGAUUAAAAAUGUUAAUGGAGGGAUUAAAAAGUGUGAUUUUAUUGUGUAAGAACUAAAAUUAAAAUUCAUAAGGCUUAAAUAUGUAUUUGAUCCUUGCAAUUAGGGAUCGUUUAAAAAUUGGUCCUUGUAAUCGCUAAUCCUGGCAAUUUACCCCUGCAUUGUUUAAUCAUUUAAAAUUUUGUCCCUCUCCCCACUUAAUCACUGCCACGCCACAUGAAAUUCCAAUUUUACUCCUAGGUUUUCAAUUUUUUCUUCAAUAUUUUGUCCUCUUCUUAAGGGCAAAAUUGGAAUUUUAUGUUUGGUCAAAGGACUAAAUUUUAAAUGAUUAAUGAUUGCAAGGCUAGUUUGCAAGGAUUAACGAAUGCAGGGACCAAUUUUUAAACGACCCCUACUUAUAAGGAUCAAAUACAUAUUUAAGCCAAUUCAAAAUAUUUAUAGGAUCAUUUACUUAAUUAACCCUACAUAAAUUGGUUUUCUUUUGACUCAAAAUUGAAGUGAAAUGUAAAGCUUGUCACCGUCCACGUCCACUGAUUUUAGUUUUAUUUUGAGUCACCGACCAUCUAAUUUUUUUUUUUGAAGUAACCGACCAACUAAUUUAUAUAAUUAUAUAAUUUCUGCAUAUUGUUAUUAUAUAUCAUGAGUUAAACGAGCAAAUGUUUAGAGCACUUACAAUAGAGUUCUACCUUAUAUAUCAUGAGCUACAAUUACCUUUAAUUAUAACAUAAUCACCAUACCUUAUUCAGUUAAUAGUUGUGUAAAUUAUUAUAUGAAAAUGAAUAGAUUGCUACUAUCAAUUACAAUUUUGAAGUCCAAAAUACCGUUUUUACGAGGUAUUGAUUGUUUUGGGUGUUGGUUAUUACGGUUUUAUUUUUUUUGUAAAAGAUAUAUCAUUUGAUUUCUAAGUGUGAGUGUUUGAAGUUAAACUACCACCUUCAUUCUCAAGUAAUGUUAGAUUUUCUGUUUGUGGUAUAUUGGAGAAAAUAUUAUUUUAUUUUAUUUUAUUUUUGUUGUGAAUUCCGGUCUCAAAAUCACACCAAUACAAACUAUGAUGUGUGGAGUAAAGGAAAGUAGUAAUCAAUAUCAAAGUGAACACAAGCAAUAAUCAACAAUAACAGCACCUAGAUCUAAUCUAGGAAUCAAAGUGAAAAGCACAAAACCACAAGCAAAAGAUAAAAGGAGAGAAGAGAUAAACAAACACAUCAAAGAUUGUUCACUCAGUUCGGUCCAAACUUGACCUACUCUGGAGGAGAGAUUGAUCUCUCUAGUCCACUAUCAAUGAGUUCUUACAAAGAGAUACAAAAGGGUUACAAGAAAUUAGCUUUUGACAAGUUCACAAAGAACAACCCUAAUUUCUACCUCUUUUUUUUCCAAUCUCACCAAUGAACAAGACACUCAAUGAUUUUCACUCACCAAAGUGUUUACAAUGUUUCCCAGCCCAAGAGAACUAUAAUCAAAGACCCUAAACCCUAAAGUUGUCUCCUUUGAUUUCUCAAGUUUCUCUCUCUUCAAGUUCUCCUUCAAAAUCUGCAAAGAACACUUAUAUAGUUGUCUUCAGCGUCGAAAUCGUGUCACGUUUUUUCCCCAAUCGUGCCACGAUUGAUGCGUACGACCAACCUUAUCCUGAAAGUCUUGCCCAGCAAGCCAAAAAUCGUGUCACGAUUUCCCAAAAUCGUGUCACGAUUGGACGCCCUGAAAAACAUCUCUCGACAUUACCAAAAUCGUGUCACGAUUUUUCUGCUUCCCAACUUUACAAUUUGAAGACAUACACAACAAUUUUAUAUUAAUAAAUAAUCAUACAGUACAAAUAUGAUAUAAAUAUUAUCAAAGGGCAAUAUGACAUGAAUUAUAGUAGUGAUUAUGUGAAGUCGAGAAAAUUAUAGUUUGUUUAAUCUGCAGCUGAUUACCUCAACACAACGCAUGCUUCCAUUAAGACAUCCGCACUGAACAAAAGUACUUUUUUGGUUAGUUAUUUUACUAGUAUAUACUUUUUUUUAGAGAUACUAUUAUAUACUUUUUUACUAUAAUAUUAUAAUAAAAUAAAAUAAAAUGUUAUUUAAUUAAAUCUGAGGUUGAACCUGGUUCAACCCCGAUUGAACCUCAAAACCUUAAACCCUCUCCUUCAUCGGUUUAAUGUCCGGUCCAGUUCUGAUUACCUUGGUUUUUAGUAAAAAGCAAGUGGGAGUAGGCUUGCUAACUUUCUCCUUCAUGUGUUUUUAGGUUGGAGUAAGUUAGCAGCCCCCUUCUAUAAAAUACUACUUUAUUUUGUAUGUGAAAAUAUGUUAAUCAUUUGUAACGCAUAGUAUUUUGUGGAUUCCACUUGUGUGCCAUUAAGGAGGGAAUGUUACUGACAUUGAUCAAUCUAAUUGUGACACAUGAGCCAAAUUAACUAUUUUCACUCUCUUUCAAAUCUUUUAAAUCUUUUUCUGUUUAAAAAAACUAUGAUGUCACGUGUCACACUUGAAUUGGUCAAUGGCAUGUGACAUUAUGUCGCACAAGUGCAAUCCAUAUUUUGUGUUCUUAUAUUUGCAUAAACAAAUUAUGUUCGGGUAUGACUGCAAUUUGAAAACUCAUGGAUAUUUUCAAAAUAACAACAUUAAUUUAGUAUUUUUGUAAAAUAUUUGUUCAUUUUAUAUGUGAAAAUCAAUUAAAUAUUUGCACCGCACUCGUUGCUAAUUUAUGUAUAUAUCCACGGAAACAAUUUUUUAUGUCCUAAUAUGGUAAUAUUUUUAAAUCCGUGGGUUUUUUUUUUUUUUUUUUUUUUAUCUUUAAAAUAUCAAUAUUAAAGUUGUAAAAUAAGAGACAUACUUUGUCGAAAAUAAUCUUUAAGAGUAAAUACUUGGCAAAUCUUUUGUGGAUAGUUUGAUAUGAUUAUAUGAAGAUAUGUGAAUGUUUUCUAUGUGUUGAAUAUGAUGUUUAUCAUAAUGUGUUGUAUUUUCUCCUUUGCCUGAAUUGUGAGAAACUGUAUGGAGUUGUUGACUAUAUGAUAUAGUUGAUGUUGAUUAAUGCAUAUAUGUUGAUUGAUUGUGAUAUUGUUGGUGAAUACAUAUAUGUUAAUUGAUUGUGAUAUUGUUGGUGAAUGCAUAUAUGUUAAGUGAUGGUGAUGUGUUGGUGAUUUCAUAUAUGCUAAAUGAUUGAUGAUGAUGUGAUGAUGACUCUUAAUUGAUUUAUGACUUGAUUGAUUGUGUGGACGUAAAUACUUGAUAAUGUCAUUGUUGUUGAGGUGAUCAAUAUAAUUGGAGGUUAUCCUUUAUAUUGUUGUUGAAUAUUAUGAGGUGAUUUUGCAUUGUCGAGUCUUUUGUUGUAUGUUCAUGCAUCAUAGUCAUGUUGAGUCUUGAUGUUGUAAAGGAGAGUUACUCUUUUACUUCGGUGAUAAUGUAAGACGGGUGUGAAGUCUUACAUAUGAUGUUUUUGUUGCAUCAUGGGUGACGAUCUUGAGGUGAUUUGGUACCACAUGCAUAUAUGUGUCGGGAAUAGCUGCAUAACAUAAUUGGCAUGAGUCUUAAUUGUUUACAUGUGAAUGAUGAUUUUUGAUGAUAAGUGUGUUUGAUGAAUACAUACUUGUGACAUUUGGAUUGAUUGGUUGAUGAAUUGUGUCAUAAUUGAAUAUGUGACUUGAUGAAUUUGUGCAUUGGUGAAAUUGUUGAGUGAUGUGAUCUAUGUGGAUUUUGUUGAUAGUUGUAAAUAAAUGAUCUAUGCUCUAAUUGCAUAUCUUGCUUACUUGUGCUUAUACACUUGAUGAAUCUAUUUGAUGAUAAUUAUUUUGGUAAUAGUGAUGAGGUGAGAAUUGUAUAUGUUUUGAUGAUUUCUUUGAAAAUGAUGAUUGCUGGCUUAUAACUUUGAAAUGAUGAAUUGUAAGUAUGCUAAAUGAAGAAUAAGGUGAGUAAUCCUUUCAUUGAUAAAUGAUGAACUUAUGUUGAUGACUUGAUUAGGAAUUGAGUAUGCUUGCUAUGCUAUGUUAGUAACGUGAUAGCUUGAGAUGUAUGGGAUUGGGGAUAAUAAUCAUGUGAUGCUAGUAUUCUAGGAGGGAUGAUUAUGUAUAUGUGUUAUGCAUGAAAUCCUUGAAUGCUUAUGUUUGUUUAUGUUGAUUAUGAUUGAUGUGAAGCUUACCCCAGUAGAUAUGUGAUGGACCGCCUACCUGUUUGUAUGAAUGGGUAGACGGCGUGCAUGACUAGUUUGCUUUUGGUGAGUUGCUUGAUGAUUGCUUGGAUAGCGGAAGCUAAUCUCUGUUAUCGUUUCUUGGAGUCUUAGAUUAGGCUCUGAUUAGGACGUUAGUCUUUAUGUCUUUGUUGAAUUUAUUUAUUAUGGAGAUUUUACCCAUAUGUUGGGAUUUGGAGAAUUUAUAUGAUGAUGUAUUUUGAUCUCAUGACAUGUAUAUUUUGGAGAAGUAUGAUUUAUAUCCGCUGCGACCGUUGAGAAUUUUUAUAUAUGCAUGUAUGUUUGGUUUUGUUGAAGACGUAGCGUCUGUUUUUUGAAUAUAUGCUUUAUUCGCGUAUUUUAUCGCUUUAAUAGAAAUAUGGUGUUACAAUCAACACCAUGAAGGUGUUUCAUGGUGUUGGAGGAUGCAAUGCAGCAACCCAAAUGCCGCAAUUAAGCGACUUGGCGCAGACCGCAAUAAAGGUGAAAUUUCCAAAAACUAAUAAUAUAGAAGGGGGCAUUCCGUUAAAACACUUUGUUUCCUUCAACUUUCUUUUAACAAGUUUAAUGGCACAAUAAAUUUAGACGUCAUUAGAAAGUUAAGUAAUUUAAUUACACUUGGCCUUUCCUUCGAUGAAAAUUCUACAGUUGGAUUCAUGCAAGCUGAGGAAUCUGUAAUGGUUGUACUCAAUUGGAAUGCAAAUGCAAACAAUAUUAUGUUGAUUCACCCAAAUAAGCAAAACAACUUAGUAAUUAUAAUCUUUGUUGAUAGAUCACAGCAGAUAAAUAAGACAAUGGUAACAAUAGAAAGAAGAACUUGAAGAAAGAGUAUAUGAAAUAAGAGAGGAUUAGAGAAUCAGAGAGAGAAGAAGAGUUUCAUCACACAUUUUUCAUGCUUAUUUCCUUGACUUUUCUCUUAUUUAUAAGGGUCCUAUUUCUAUUUCCCAUAUUGCCCCUGAUUGCUCUUUGACUUAUUACAGAAUCCCUCCCUAGUUUCUUGAGAAACCAGUCCACAUUGUUAUUAUUUCUUCAUUUAACUGAAAACAAUAUUAAAGGAUCAAUACCUAAUUGGGAUUUGGCAUCUUGCUUCACUCAUUAACUUGAAUCUUUCUCAUUAAUUUCUCUAAAAUAACAGUUUUCAAGGAAAAAUCAGUGAACCUUUCUGUAAUGCAUCUAGUCUUCUCAUGCUAGAUUUUUCCCAAAAUAACUUCUUUUUUUUUGAAGAAAAAAAUCCAAGAACGAAAAAGAAGUUUUCCAAAAUAACUUUGUUGGGACAAUUCCAAAGUUUUUUCUUUUUUAACGGCAAAAUGUAUUAAUAACUACUACCUACCUCCGUUUCUUUUUAAUUGUCAUAUUUUGACAUUUUAUACAAAUCAAGACAAUCAACAAUUGAUACUACUUUUGAUGCAAUAAGCUAUAUUUUUACUAUAAUGAUCUUAUUCAUUUAAUAUCUCAUUUCAUAUAUUUCUCUCUCCGCAAUAAAUAACUAAGGAUAAUAUUGGUAAAACAACAUUUAAUGUUGCAUUGAGCUUUGAAAGUGACAGUUAAACAAGAACAAAAAAUUUCUCCAAAAGUGACACUUAAAAAGAAACGGAGGGAGUAAGUUUUUACACAAGAAUUGAGAUGACAAUAGACAAACAACAAAGUAAAGGACGUCGUAUAUAGACGGAACAUCAAUUUUUUUUAUAAAAACACUUAAGGACACCAAAUAAUCAAAGGCUACGACAACACUAAUAAGAAAUUAACCACACAAACCAACAUCAACACCUAAAUCAAAGCAAAAAUGUUUAGCAAACGUCUCAGAAUGUUGAACUUUGUUGAAAACAAUUUCCAAGGUCAAAUUGCUAAUUUAAUGUUUCCAAAUUCAUUUAAAACAUUAAUAAUAUUUUAAAAAGUGUGUAUUAUAUGAAAAUAUAAACAUGAGAUAAAAGAAGAAAAAAGAAUAUUUUCAAGUGUAUUCCAGACGUUGAGAACUACUCAUUCAAUCUCUUAAAUUGGAAUUAUUUGUGUUGAAUACACAACUAGAGUCAAUUGACAGUUUGAGUGGUGGAAAACAGAAACAUUAUAGUGGAACUAAGUCAAAGGUUGCUUUUGAAUGGUCACAUUUGAAGACUUGAAAGUUCUUACCUUAAUUUCCACGGUGUGGAAAAGACUUAGAAUAUGGUGUUUUCACCAAAACACUAAAGAAAUAGCAAAAAGAAAAAAAAAGGAAUAAUUACCAUCAGAACCAAAAACAUAAAAAGCUAAUGAUAAAACUUACUAAAAGAAUUUCAAUAACCAUAAAUACUACUCCCUCCGUCCCUAUAUAUAAGACCCUUUUGCCAAAAUCACGGAAAUUAAGAUAGUGGAUAUUUGUAUUAAAGUUGUUUGUAAUCACUAUUGUUUUUACAAUUUUAUCCGUUAAGAAAGAAGGUUAGUUUAUGUUUUCAACAUGUUAUUUAUUGUUGAUUGAAGAAAAAGAUGUAUAAUAAAUAGGGGCAGUAUGUAAAGAAAUAAUUAAUGUAGUUGGAAAUAACAAAGGGGUCUUAUAAAAAGGGACAAAAAAAAUUCUCAAAAGGGUCUUAUAAUUAGGGACGGAGGGAGUACAUGAUAUCCUUGAGUGAACAAAUGUGAUGAUAAUAUGGUGUGUACACAACCUGAAAAUUUGAUGUUAACAUGUUGUCAAAAUCCCAACCUAAAUUCUAAAAUUUAAGAUUUUGCGACUUUCUUCACCUUCAACGACUAAAAUUCAUAAUAGAAUUUUAAAAUAGACAAAAUUCAUCGACUUUGAUUGCGAUUUUACGAUUUCUUAUAAACUAAGUCAUUUAUGACCAUAUAUCAUUUAUAACAUAUAUUUAGUAUUAAUUUUUUUUGGGUAAAAUCCAUCGAUUUUGAUUGUGAUUUUACAAUUUCCUAUAUAGAUUCUACAGAAGUCCUUGAGUAAAAUCCUUCGAUUUUGAUUGCGAUUUUACGAGUCCCGAUUUUACUAUUUAUUUUUGACCUGAAGUAAAGUCCCAAUUUUGACAACCUUGGUAUUAGAUAUCUAAACAUAGCAUAAAAACGGUGGGUCCAUAAACAUGAAAACUUAGUUUUGCAUCAUUCAUUCCUCAACAAAAUAAUUUUUAUUAACUAAUUUAUUACUGUAUUUUCCCAUCUAAUAUUUAAUACAUAUUCACUUAUUUCAUUUAAUUUCAUGUUUUCUACAAACUACCACCCCGCCAUGAAAAAUUAUAGGUUAGUCACUCAUCACCAACUUAGUGAUAAGAUAAGACAUAUGAAUGACAAUCAUUAAGACUUUUUUUCAGAAUCAUUUAACAAUCAAGAAGAUUAAACUGCGUACGAAAUAGGGUUGAAUUGAAUGGUCUAAUAUUCAAUAAUUCUGCUUGUUCGUUCAUUUUACAAAAGGAGAAAAAAGUUACUUUAUUGAUAUACCACUACUUCAUUCAUAAUUCACUAUGAGAGCACAUAUAAUUUUUUGGCUUUUCUUUAUGCUAUUCAGCUCCAUAAAUUCCAGCACUAAUAAUUUUUUGCUGAAUGGCAACUGUCUAGGCCAUCAACGUGCCUUGUUGCUCCAAUUGAAGAACAACUUGAUAUUCAACCCUGAAAAAUCUUCAAAGCUAGUUCAUUGGAACCAAAGUGAAUAUGAUUGUUGCAAAUGGCAUGGUGUAACAUGCAAAGAUGGACAUGUUACAGCCCUUGAUCUUAGUCGAGAGUCUAUUUCCGGAGGACUUAACGAUUCAAGUGCCAUUUUCAGCCUGCAAUAUCUGCAGGGUCUGAAUUUGGCUUUUAAUAAGUUUAAUUUUGUGAUUCCUCAAGCGCUGCAUAAACUGCAGAAUUUGAGGUAUCUCAACUUGUCUGAUGCUGGCUUUGAGGGGCAGGUCCCAAAAGAAAUUGCUCACCUUACAAGGUUGGUUACUCUUGAUUUGUCUUCUUUAAUUACUUCACGUCAAAGCCUAAAACUUGAGAAUCCAAAUAUAGAAAUGCUUGUGAAAAACCUUACAGAUAUCACAGAAUUGUAUCUAGACGGUGUAGCAAUAUCUUCCAGCGGAGAUGAAUGGGGUCGUGCUUUAUCUUUAUUGGAGGGUGUUCGUGUUUUGACCAUGUCGUCGUGCAAUCUCUCAGGAGCUAUUGAUUCUUCACUAGCUAAGCUUCAGUCACUCUCUGUUCUAAGAUUAAACAACAACAAAUUGUCAAGCAAAGUGCCUGAUUCCUUUGCAAAUUUAUCCAAUUUAACAAUCCUAGAAAUCAGUAGUUGUGGCUUGAAUGGUUUUUUCCCAAAGGAUAUCUUCCAAAUCCACACAUUAAAGGUCCUUGACAUAUCAGACAAUCAAAAUCUUAGUGGUUCUUUGCCAGACUUCUCACCACUUGCAUCUCUUAAGUACCUAAAUCUUGCCGAUACAAAUUUCUCAGGACCACUACCAAAUACUAUCUCAAAUCUGAAGCACCUGUCGACUAUUGAUCUAUCUCACUGCCAAUUCAAUGGAACACUUCCCAGUUCAAUGUCUGAACUCACCCAAAUUGUUUAUCUAGACUUGUCAUUUAAUAACUUCACAGGCUUACUCCCUUCUUUGAGCAUGUCCAAGAACCUCACAUAUCUAUCCCUCCUUGGAAAUUAUUUAAGUGGAAAUUUACCAUCCAACUAUUUUGAGGGCCUCAUAAAUCUUGUUAGCAUCAAUUUCGGUAUCAAUUCUUUCAACGGUGAUGUGCCAUCAUCUGUUCUUACACUCCCAAGUUUGAGAGAACUGAAGCUUCCCCAUAAUAAGCUUAGUGGUAUCUUGGGUGAAUUUCACAAUGCUUCUUCACCUCUAUUGGAGAUGAUAGAUUUGUCCAAUAAUUAUUUACAAGGCCCUAUUCCAUUAUCUAUCUUUAACCUCCGAACACUUCGUUUCAUUCAACUUUCUUACAACAAGUUUAAUGGGACAGUAAAGUUGGAUGUCAUUAGAAGGUUAAGUAAUUUAACUGUAUUAGGGCUAUCAUAUAACAAUCUUUUGAUUGAUGUCAACUUCAAAGAUGAUCAUAACAUGUCAUCCUUUCCAAAGUUGAGAGUUCUAGAUUUGGAAUCUUGUAAGCUUUUACAAAUUCCUAGUUUCUUGAAAAACCAAUCCACAAUAUUAUCUAUUCACUUGUCUGACAACAACAUUGAAGGACCAAUACCUAAGUGGAUUUGGCAACUUGAAUCUCUCGUUAGCUUGAAUCUUUCCCAUAAUUUUUUGACAGGUUUGGAAGAAAGUUUUUCGAACUUCAGUUCUAACCUUAACACUGUUGAUCUUAGUUCUAACAACCUCCAGGGGCCAAUUCCUUUAAUUCCAAAGUACGCAGCUUAUUUGGACUAUUCAAGCAACAAAUUCAGCUCUAUCCUUCCGCCAGACAUUGGCAAACACCUCCCUUACAUGAUUUUUUUGUUUCUUUCCAACAACAAAUUUCAAGGAAAAAUCCAUGAUUCUUUUUGUAAUGCAUCUAGUCUAAGGCUGCUAGAUCUUUCCCACAAUAACUUUGGUGGCACAAUUCCAAAGUGCUUGCUGCACUGAGUAGCAGUCUACGAAUGUUAAAUUUUGGUGGAAACAAGCUUCGAGGUCAUAUUCCUAGUAGUAUUUUUCCAAAUUCAUGUGCACUAAGGUUUUUGGAUCUAAAUGACAAUCUUUUAGGAGGUCCUAUACCAAAAUCCUUGGUCAACUGUAAGGAACUACAAGUUAUUAACCUUGGAAAGAAUGCAUUAACCGGCAGAUUUCCAUAUUUUUUGAGUAAAAUUCCAACAUUGAGAAUCAUGAUUUUAAGGUCAAAUAAGCUGCAUGGGUCUAUUGGAUGCCCAAAUAGCACUGGUGAUUGGAAGAUGCUUCAUAUCAUUGAUCUGGCAUGCAAUAACUUCAGCGGCACGAUAUCAUCUGCACUCUUAAAUAGUUGGAAAGCAAUGAUGCGUGACGAAGACGUGCUUGGGCCAGAAUUCGGCAAUUUGUUUUUUGAAGUUCUUGACUAUUAUACAAUGGGUUUGAAGGAUGCAUUACGAAUUAUGAACAAAUAUUAUGCUACGAAAGUGGUUCAACUUACUUUAAAAAUGCCCCAUUCUGAUCUUGAUCAGGUAAUCUCUGAUAGUAGUGCAGAUGAUGUGGAUCUUCGUCGUUAUCAGGAUUAUUCAGUUAUUAUUGUUAACAAAGGUCAUCAGAUGAAGCUUAUCAAAGUUCAAAAGGCCUUCACUUAUGUUGAUAUGUCAAGCAACUAUUUAGAGGGGCCAAUACCGAAUGAGUUAAUGCAAUUCAAGGCAUUGAAUGCUCUAAAUUUGUCGCAUAAUGCAUUAACAGGCCAUAUACCAUCAUCAGUGGGGAAUUUGAAGAAUCUUGAGUGUAUGGAUUUGUCAAACAAUUCUUUGAAUGGUGAGAUCCCUCAAGAGCUUUCAAGUAUAUAUUUCCUUGAAUAUAUGAACCUCUCGUUCAAUCACCUGGUGGGUCGAAUUCCUUUGGGCACUCAAAUUCAAUCAUUUGAUGCAGAUUCCUUCAAAGGGAAUGAAGGGUUAUGCGGACCUCCACUGACCAACAAUUGCAACAAUGAUGGAGUGCAAGGGUUUGCAUCCGAGUUAUCUCAUUCUCAUAAUGACAAUUCAAUUGAUUGGAAUCUCUUAAGUGUGGAGUUGGGAUUUAUUUUUGGCUUUGGAAUUUUCAUCCUCCCCCUUAUUUGGUUGAUGAAAUGGAGGUUGUGGUAUUUCAAACAUGUCGAUGAAAUGCUUUACAGGUUCCUCCCCCAGCUAGAUUUUGUGUAUGAACAGCAGGAAGGGAAGAGGUAUAGAUCUCUAAGGUGGAGGUACUAGUCACUUAACUCUUGAUUUUGAAGCUAUAUGUCCAUAAUUUGUACUCACAUAAAGGGUGCAAGCAAAACAUGACUCAAGUGUGGAUCCAUCAUUUGUAUUCGUUCCUUGUUCACUAGGCCUUGUUUUCUUCGCAUUUUAGUAUUGUUGAAGAAAUAUGUAUCUGAUAGCGAUGUGAUAGCCUACGAUUGUAGUUAGUUCGUUAGAAAUUUUCAAAAAUAAUCACUCUGUAUUAUAGUGUAUGCUAGUUUCUCUGCUACCAUAUUUCCGUUCUAUUACAAUAACAGUUGUAUUUGUGCUUCAAAAGUUAUUUAUUUCCAUAAUAAAUGAAUUCGAUUUCAUCCUUCUCUGCUAACAUCUUGUUCUUAUGAAUGAACUUUGGUCAUAUUAUGUCAUACAUGGAUUUUUGAAUCACGAAUCAUGAAACCAUAACAACAUAAAGUUAGAAUAUCAAUCAAACUUGCACCAGAAGGCUAGAAUCAAUGACAGUUACACAGAGGAGAUAAAUAGCAAGAAAAUAUAUACCUCUACUUGCAGGGGGAACAUGGAAUUCCUCUCUAAUUAAACAACUGACUCAUUCUAAACCUAGGAUGUUGAAAUUCAGAUAGCCUUUACAUCCAUUCAACUUGUGCUUCUGUAAUUAGUUAUUAUAGUAAUAUACACAAUUAAAAAACAACUAACAAAGUUAUGGAAGAAAAAAAAUAUGAAGUUCGUUGGUAAGUAUCUCACAAAGGAUACAAGCAUAUAAUGUCUCAUUCAUAUCAUUCCCUUGUUUACAACGCCUCUUUAAUCUGACUAUUUUGUUUGUCACAUUAAUAUCCAUGAAGCCUAAGGAGCCUGUCAAUUCAGAGAAUAAUAAUCACUAUUUUUAUUUGAGUGUGUUCUAAUAUCUCUACUAUAAUUUCUGUUCUAUAUUAAAUAGAAGUUGUUUGUAUACUUCAUCUUUCUCUAUGCAAUUUGUUCUUAUGAGUCAAAUAAUGAUGACAGCAAAAAGUUGUUAAAAAAUUGAACUUUGGACUCAGAUAUUUGAAGUUUAUUUCAUUUUUUGAGUUCCCUCAAAUUAAGGGGAUUUUGUAUCAGGAAGAAAAAAUAAAUUGUCAAAGAGGCCCUUAGGGUAUUCACUGAUUAAUCUGCAAUGUUAUUAUUGUUACUGUCUGUUACUACUCUUAAUUGGUUUCUGGUACUUGUAUUCCAUGGAUUCUUGCUUACUGGUUCUGCUAAUUUAAAGUAUAAACCUCUAAUUGCAGGGAACAUUGAAUUUAUCUCAAAUUAAGCAAUUCCCUCCUUAACCUAACUUGUCGAAUUCAGUUAGUUAUUGCAUACACUGCAUUGAUCUUGUGUUCUUGUAAUUAGUUCUUUCACAUUCAACUAAAAGUAACUGAGUUGGACAAAACAUUACAACCUAAAACCUUGUUGAAUUUAUGGGACAUCUCACUUAUAUAUUGCUCCAGUUUCACAUUUUCAUACAAUGUGAGACUUCUACCUCGCUACAUAAGAAUAAUAAACAAAAAGCUAAGCAAAUUAAGCAAAUUGUGGUAAAAAGAACAUGAUAUUAUUAAGGCUAAUGAUAUUAUCAUAUCAUUUGUAUUCGUCCCUUCUUUUUCACAUCAUGCAUGUUGCAAUAUUAUUAUUGAAACAAUGACAACACAUUUGUUAGAAACUUUGGGAUUAGACGCUUCAAAUUGAAAAUACAUUUUUUUAUUUAUUUAAUUGAUAGAAAGUACUAUCCGUUACAUGAUUAAUUUGAUUCAAAGAAUAUUUAUUAAGAUACUGAUUGAGAACACAAAAUUAGCAAGAAAAUGGAGAGAAAAUGAUCAAAUGUAUUAUGAUUCUCACUUAACAAUUACAAUGGUCAUGUUCACUGUUAAUAGAGAAACUAGUGACUACUCUAUCUAAUCAUGUUAAUCUUUACGUAAUCUAAGCCUAAGCUAACUGUUUCCUAACCACGUCUAUUGAGAAUGGAAAGUAAGAGUGUGAAUUUUCAUUAGAAUGAAACAAAGAGUGCAUCAAGUAUUUAUACAUUGUGAUUGUACGUAAUAUCUAAAACUGAACUGUACUACACAGUCCUGCAUUGACCACUUGUACUGCAAGCUAUCAGUGUUAGUGAGCUUUUGUUUCCCUUGUACUUCAUUGUGCAAUAUCUCCCUAGUUGAGGGUAGGUAGAUAUCUAACAUCCCCAAUUUGGAUAGUAAAAAAUUGAAUGGCUGUGGAAACAAGGAUUUGGUAAAAAAAUAUGUUAUUUGAUCUUGAGAGUUGACAUGAAGUAACUUGAAAAGACCAGUUUGCAGCUUCUCUCUGAAAAUGUGACAAUCAAUUUUCAGGUGCUUAGUAGUUUUGGCAUAAGUAAUUUGUAAAACUUUGCUAAGAUAAAUUAACCAUUGUACGAUUCACAAGUAGGGUGGGAAUAGAGCAGGCCUCUCCCCAUGGGCCUAUGACCGAGCCUAUUUAAAGCUCGGCUCGGCCUAACUCGUUUGUUAAAUAAGUUAGGCUCAAGCUUUUUAAAAAACUCGCGUUAAUUUAAAUAGGCUAGGUUAAGGCUUAUAGAAAAGCCUACUGGGCCUACCAGACCGGCCAUAUAUAUGUAAUUAUAUAUAUUCCAUUAUAAAAUACACGUUUAUUAGCCUCUACACAAUGGAUGUGCUAGGUCUACAAAAUUUUAUAGGAUAUACAUGCAAUUGCUUAUAAAGUGGAGGAAAAAUGGAUAUACAUGUUUUACGAAAUUUUAUUCGCAUAUUAUCCUUUUUAUAAAUAGGUCAAAUGUUCUAUUUAAAAUUGUUAGUAGAAAGUAGGCUUUUAAACAGACUAGUAAGUCAAAUCAGGUCUAAAAUAAAGCCUUCGACACGCUAAUAGGCCAGGCUUAAGCUUUAGUUUUUCAACUAGGCCUGGCCUAUUUAAGCAAAGUUCGGCUCAACCUUGCAUAUUCCCACCCAUAUUCACAAGUAGCAGAAGUUAAGGCACCGAUCUAGAGAUUGUAACUUACUUUUUUAUUCUCCAGGAAACGAGAGACUGUCCAAGAAAGAAAAUUGGCCUGAUAUGGGCACCGAUCUAGAGAUUGUAACUUACUUUUUUAUUCUCCAGGAAAUGAGAGACUGUCCCAGUUUGCAUUAGUGAAACCUUUAAGUUAAAGGGUUCAUGAUCUAUAAAAGAAAAUGCCACGACUCGGACAUCCUUUAACCCAAAUUUAUCAAGAGCUCCUUAUUGUGAUUUUAUUAGCUCUACAUUUCGUUUUUUUUAAUAAGAAUUCACUUUCAACAAAAAUCAAGAAUUGAAUUGGAAAAAAAGGGUGAAAAAACAUGCAAAGAAAAGACUCUAACUUAUCUCUCUCACUUCUCUCUACAAACAAUAGCCAAACACAACCGACUUUCCCUACCAAAAUCCAAAUCCCUCCUUUCAAGAUGUAGAUCUUGAAGGUGACUGGUGAGCUCGCCGUCUCUUGAGCUGCACCACUUGGGGGAUGUCGUCCCUUUUCGCCGUUUUGGGUUUCUCUCACCUCUCCGCCUACGGUGCCGUUUUUGCUUUAGAUCUCCUCCGUCCGUUGUGGUCUGGUGGUGGUUUGAUUCGGGCUCGUACCUUCGCCUCCAAGUUGUCUCCUGGUUGUGGUUCACAGAUUUCUCGGUGGUGGAGCGUUGCUGAAUAUAGGUGGUUUUGUGUUGGCUUCUCUCUUCCUCACCUUGCACGACCUUUGUUUUGUGGUUCCUUCAUCAAAUCUGUUGAGAUCUUCAGAUUCUCUGGUUGUUGUUUCGCUACCACCACGUCGAUGCUCUUGGAGGCUAUUUUUGGUCGUUGCUUUGUUAUGUGUCGUGUUUGUUUUUAUCAUCGGUUGUGUUUGUUGUUACUAGAUUGGGAGGGUUCAGAUAUGACCUUUUUGAAGUGGAUUGUUUCGUAAACCCUAACGGGUCUGUUGUGAUUCUAAAACCCGGAGGGGUCUGGUUCGUUUAAUCCGAAAGGGUCUGGUAGUUGACGUAUUGGACUCAUCCCUCGAUUUAAGUUCUUGCGCGUUGUUUUGCUCGAAAGGGCAUUUUAUGCUUGCUAUUGAUCAGGGAGCUGUUGACACUUGGAUUUGUUACCGUGUUGGCGGUCGAUCCAUUCGCCAUUCUUAAACUCUAGUUGUUCUCGACAAAUUCUUAGUAUACUUUUUUUGUAACCUUAUUUCGCGCCCGUACGCGGGUUCACUGGUUUGCGCCUGUGAUUAGUGUUUUUUUGUUAGAAUAGAUUAGAAUCGAACCAUUUUGAACUGUUUUCUCAUGAUGUAUUCCCAGUUGGGUUAUUCCUAGGUCAGGUGAAAUGCCCGCCAGUCUUUGUAACACUUUCUUUCUAUUUUGCCUAAAAAAAAUGGGGAAAAAGGGCAAAAAUCGAUUCAAUACAGUACACACUAUAUACAUUAUUCAUGUGUGCGGUGUACAAUAUUUCAAUCGGAAAAAGGCAACACUUCGAUAAUAUUAUUAUUAUUCACGCGUGUACAAUACAUGCUUCAAUUGUAAAAAAUAAAAAUCAAUUCAAUUAGAAUUCAAAAAUGGAUUCAAUUGGAAAAAGCAUAAAUCAAUUCAAUUAGAAUUCAACACCUAAAGCAAUUAGAGAAUUGAAACAAUCAUUAUCAAAGAGAAUUGGAAUAAGAAAAAAAAAACAUAAACCUAAAACAAUACAUCUGAAGAGAGAAUGAUUUAAGAAAAUUGUGAGAAUCAAUAAUGAUUUUCUUACAAAUUGCAAUUGCUUGGUUUUGUUUUUGGAACUUUUUGGUUUUUCUCAUCCAUUUUUCUAAUUGCACAAAAAGAAUUUUUAUUUAAAUGUGUUUUUUAGAGUUGGGUCUUUUCAAUUACAAAAGAAAAAAUUAUCUCUUUAGGGGGCCUAAGAGAUAUGGGGGGCCUAAAAUGUAACCUUCUUGCAUGAAAGACAUUUUUUUUCUUCCAAUUUUUACUAUUUGGGCUGAGAUAUGGAUUUUAAUAUUGCCCUGCUAAUACUAAUUGCUAUAGGCACCCCAAUUUUUCUUACUUUUGCUAUAUGCACCCGCCAUCUAAAAAUAAAUUGGGCCCCAUACUGGAAAGGGCCUUAGGCUGUCGCACCCCCGCCCUAUGCCUAGGUUCGGCCCUGCUGUUGAAGGAUGAUCAACUAUUUUCCACGUACUAGUUUGAUCAAGAGCAUUAAGUUCAUUUUGCAUCGCUUGCUUCCAACAAUCAAACUUGAUAGCCUCGACAUAUGAUGUAGGUUUAAUAUUUUAUACAAGAGAGAAUGCAUAUUGUGAGUGAGAUGCAUAUGGUUUAUUAUGAGAAAUGAAAUUGGAUAAAGGAUAUUUACUAUUAGAAGAAUUGAUGUCUGAAGUAGGAGAUGCAUUGCAAAUAAAAUCUGGUAAGUAAGAAUGAGUCUUUCUAUUUCUAAAGGAGACUCUAAAUGGAGGAGAUGGAGGUAUGGGAAUGGGAGAUGGAGGAUUAGGAGGAGAUAGAGUACUGAUAGUAUCAACUAUGACAUGAGAGUGAGAUGUAAAGGAAGGAAAAUACUCCCAGUCAGGAGCAAAAGUUGAUGAUGUGGAAUUAUAAGGAAAUAUCGACUCAUGAAAAACAACAUUUAUGGAAAGAAUAUUUCUUUGGAAAGAAUAUAAAAAAGAACAUAACCUUUAAAACAUGUAAAACAACAUAAGAGCAAAAAAUAUUAGGUAGUAGUAUAGAUUGAAAUAAAAGGGAACUAUCCACAUUCAAGAUAUGCUGAUGUUUUAUUUCCACCCUACCAUUCUGCUUGGGUGUCUCAAUACAAGAAUUUUUUUGUAUGUUUCCUUUGUAGACAUAAAAUUCAGUGAUUAGGAAUUUAAGUCCAUUGUCAGACCUGAUAAAAUUUGGACUGAUAUGAUGAUGGUUAUCAAUUAAUUGAAUGAAAUUUCUGAUAUAAGAAAACACUCCCUCUUUAGAUUUAGGCUUUGUUUGGUUGGUGAAUGAAAGUGAAAGGAAAGAAAGAGAAAGGAAAGAUUGUGUAAGGAAUGAAAGAGAGUAGAAAGUGAGAUGAUUGUUAUGGUUGUUUGGUAGAAGAGAAAGUAGAAAGAAAGUAAGAGGAAAGAAAGAUAUGUGUUUAUUAUUGACAUAAAUACCCUUGUAUAUUAAUAAAAUAUUAAUAUAUGCAAUAUAUAUUAUACAAACAUGCCAAAAAAAAUAAGAGAAGAAAAAGAUGAAUAUUUGUAUGUGUAUUGUUGUCACAACAUUAUGUAUCAUUUUUUGUGGACAUUUAUAUAUUGUUUAUUUCAUAAAAAGCAUGUGUUACAUAUUGUUAAUAUUAUAUUAUUAAAUAGGGUUAUUUUUGUCUUUUUAAGCAAAACAUUGUCACACCUCAUGUUUCCAUUCAAUCUAGUGAAGAAAGAAUUUAUUUGUGGGUCCCAUCUUAAACUUUCUUUCCUUUCUUAUUUGUUGAAGUUCCAAACAAUGGAAAGAAGAUCUUUCCACAAUCUUUCUUUCCCUCUUCUAAUCCUUCCACUAAACCAAACAAGAGAAUGGUGCAAGUGAAUCUACUAUAAUAAUAAAAUACUUAGGGCCAUGAACAAAUGAUAUGGCAAGAGGACCCCAAAUAUCAAAGUGUAAUAAUUAAAAUUUAGAAGAAGCAAUAGAUGAACUUAAAGUAUACAGAAAUGAUAUUUGAACAACCAUUUUUUGACAACUUUCUCUCUCAUACUCACAUUAUUCUUUUACUUUCUCUCUCUAUUGCUUUGAUUUUUGUGUUACUAUCUAAAUUUCUUUGUAUAAUUUAGUUGUCUAAAAAGUUGUCACAAGAAAUGGUUGUUCAAAUAUCAUUGCUCUAAUUUUCUGAUUUGCAAAAUGACAAAUAUCACAUGUAGCUUUAUUAUCAACAAAAAUAGAAGGGUACAAUUGAUGCAUCUGUGACAAUAUUUGAUUAGACAUAUGACCUAAACUAAAGUGUGAAAUAGCAUAUGCUGGAUUACUAGAAUGACAAUUAUAAAUUUUAUUUGAAAAAUGAGGACAAUGAUUGUGAUGAAAAAUGAGUAUUAAUUUAAUUUCGGAUUGAGCCCCUUUUUGUAAUAAUUAUAUUAUUUUAAUUUCGGAUACGUCUGAAGACUUAAAUGGCAUAUUUGUGAUAUGAACACUAAAAUGUUUGUCUGUUUCGCAUAAAUGUUUUUGGCUUUAUUACAAGACUCUAAAGUCUAAUCGACUAAAAGUCCUCCAGCUAAUCAAGUAUAUAAGGCCAUGUUGUACAAGGAUUAUCAGCAUUUUUAGCAAUUUUUUUCAUUUUGUAUAAUAAAGUUUUGAUAAAGAGUGUUUCUGGUACACUUUUUAAAGAUCUUAAAUUUAACAAUUAAUCUUUCAAAAAAUCAUGUAUUAUAAUUUCUAGUAGAAUUAAAAUACUAUUUUUUAUCCUUUUAGUUUGACUGAAUUUCUAAGUUAGUCCUUUAAGUUUUAAAAGUUUCAAUUAUAUCAUUUUAGUUUGACAGAAUUCCCAAGUUAGCCCUUUAAGUUUCAAAAGUUUCAAAUAGAUCUUUUUAGUUGAUAAACAAUUUCACCGUUACCCCUGCUGUCAGUCUCCGUUUAACUGAUGCUGAUGUAACCAUUAAGUUGAUGACUUAAUGCUGCCUUUUAAAAGCUCCAGGUGUCAAAACGCUAUGUUUACAGUGAUAGUGCUAGAAAAGCAACUAUUUACAACAACAAAUAUCUUUCUAUCACUAUUAAACGACAUUUACAGUGAUAGAAUGAUCAUUUAUAACUAUUAAAUGUAACUUUUUGACAUAUUGAAGCUUUUAAAAGGAAGCGAUUUGAUACAAAUCAACAAUUUAAAGACUACAUCAACAUCAGUUAAUUAUUAACUAACAGCAGGGGUAACGGUGAAAUAAUUUAUCAAGUGAAAGUACAUAUUUGAAACUUUUAAAAUUUAAAGGUCUUACUUAAGAAUUUUGUCAAACUAAAAAAUUUAUUUGAAACUUAUAAAACUUAAAGAUGAACUUGUAAAUUCUUUUAUUUCAAAUAAAUAUGAAAAGGAUUGUACGUCAGUAUCUAAUUAUAAAAUAAAAAUAAUUACCGAGAAUAUCAUGCUAGUUAUAAUUUUUAAACACAACAAUUAGAAUCAAAUUAAUAGAAAAAGUCCUAUUUGAAAACAAAACAAAAAAAUGUUAAUAAAGUGUUUUGAGACAUUGGUUAAGACUUUUAAAUGGUAACGUUUUAUGAAUAUAUAUGUACAAUCAAUGCAUUGAAAAUCGAAAUAUUUAAUUUUUUAUUAAAAUAAUUUCUUCUUUUAAAAUCUUUAUAAAGUGUCCUGAAAUACUCGUUAACAAUGCUACAAAAAUUUGUAAAACAAAAUAAAAAAUACUGAAAGAAAUUAAUUGACAAAGUCAUCCAUUUGUGUCAUUGAGUAACCAUUGAUCAUGAACACAACAAGCAUUUAAAACAAUACUCCCUCCGUCCUAAAUUGUAUGUUACUUUAGAAAAAAUAUUUGUCCUAAAUUGUAUGUCACUUUAGAAUACCAAUGAAACAUUAAUGUUACUUUUCCUAUUAUAUCCUUAACUAUUUAUUACUCUUUCUUUUUUCAAUUCUUUCAUUUAUCUUUCCCAUAUCAUUUAUUAAGGAUAAUUUUGUAAAACAAUUCAUAAUAUCUCUUUCCCACACAAUAUUAGUUACAUUUCUUAAUAUGUGUGAAAUGCCCAAAACGUCAUACAAUUUGAGACGGAGGGAGUAUAAAUUACACAUAAAUGAGCCAUCAGCUAACACCUUAAUUUCUUCUACUUCUUUCAUUAAAGAGGGGUGAUUUAGGGUCAAUUUUUGAACUCAAAUCACCCCUCUAAAUCGUUUUUCUCCUUCCCUCUUAUUUAAAUAAGUGAUUUUCACAUCGAAUUAGGUUUUUCUUUCGUGAGUUCGUCGUCUUAGUGUGACAUUGUUUUGGUUGUCGUCUUUGUGCGGUGUUGUUUGUCUUUUCCCUCUUGUUUAGGUGUUUGUUUGAAUCAGAUUGUCAGAUCAGAUUCGAUCCAGUGCAAAUCGAACCAAUGACUUUGACGUCAUCAACGUUGUAGAUCCGGAGACAUGACUAUAACAGAGAUUUUUAUAGUCAUAUUUGUAGGCUUAUGUACUUUUCCGUUUUAUGCUAUUAGCAUGGAUGUUGUGAGUUUGUUCACAGAUUCAUCCUUUAUAUUUUUAACGAAUUUGUAUUGUAGCGAUGUACUCUAUCAAUUUAAAUGAAUGAAUGUUGUUUGUUUUGUAUAAAAAAAUAAAUAUAAAUUUCACAUAAUGUACAAAAUUAGAACAGUGAUUGUAUAACCCUUAUAUAAAGAUCUUUUUGCUAGAAAAAAAAAGAAAAGAAUAGUGGCCAUCUACGUGAUUGUCGGAAACCAUAAACUGUUGUUUCUCCAAGAAGUGGUGGUGAAUAUGAUGAAGCUUCCAAGAACAAGAUUCAAACAAAACAUUCACACAAGAAAAAUUGGUGAUCAUUGAAUGCUGUUCAGAUCACUCCCUUAUUUUUGUUUCUUCUUCUUUUUCUUUUUCUUUUUCAUGUUUGAAUUUCGGUUGUGUGAAAUGUGAAUACUUGUAUAUUUUUUUGAAGACUUGCUUGAAAAGAGUUGACUAUUCAACCUUUCUUGUUACAUGAUCAGUGUUCUCAAUGUAGAUCAUUGUUUCAAAUUGUUGUCCACAAGUGCAAUUAUAACUUCAAUGUAUCUGCAAUUUUAAAACCUCUGUAGCUUUUGGUAGAGUUAGGAUUAGUUUAUGUAGUUAAUUGAGUCAAAUUCCAUACUAUGUUCUAAGCGGUUCUCUCUUUUAGACCAUGAUGAAUAUUUGUGGAACAUUGGAUUUUCUUUACAGUUUUGUGCAGUUUAUGUCAACAACUUAGUUCCUAUACCACUUCUAUUUUAGAAUCAUUAUUUUUUUACUAUAAUAUUUUAGAAUCAUUGCAUUCAAAGAUUUUUUUUACUAAUCUUGUAUGUCUCUUGUCUUUUUCUUUCCCUUUAACCAAAAAAGAACAGGUACACAUUUGCUUUUGCAGGUAAGAUGCUUUUGUCUAUCGAUCACCAAUUAUUGUUCCUUGCUUUAGCUAGUUUAAUAAUAAUAAUAAUAAUAAUAAUAAUAAUAAUAAUAAUAUUAUUAUUAUUAUUAUUAUUUUUUUUUUUUUUUUUUUUUCACUCAUCCACGCUAGACGGAGUCUUUAACUUAUUUUUUAGUAAAAUAAAACCUAUCAUAUAACUUACGCAUGCGUCAGAUCUCAAUAUUAAGAUGUGUUGCUAAAAAUAAUAAUAAGUUGCUUCAUCUAUUUAUUUAGCACCAUCUUAGAUAAACAUUUUAUUAUUAUCGAUGCUUAUUAAAAAGAUAAAUAUGAAAACAUCCUCUUUUUUCACUUUUUAACUAAAACAUAUGUCUACUAAGUACACUCAAAUGGUAAAAAAAACUAGUAGAACACUUAAUAUCUUGGACAAGAUUUGCGAACUCGUCGUAAUCUCCACUUUUCCAGCACUUGAGUGAAUAAAAUAAAUUACAUGAUAUGAUGUAGUUUCCCGAUCUAGUUGACUAUGUGCAUUAUUGACCUUAUAUACUUUCACCAUAUUUUUCUAAUAAUAUAUAAAAAUAAAUAAUAGUAUCAUAUAAAAUGUUAGAUUUGUCUCGUUGAAUAUUUUUAAAAUAUUAAAUUUUCAUAAUUUUUUCUAUUAGAUAAUUAAAGAUGUUAAAGAUAAAAAAAAUAUGAAACAAAUGAGUCAAGUGACAGAGUCAACUGUGCCAUUUUAUAUGAGACCGAGGAAGAAGUAACAUAUAUUAUGAAACAAAUGAAAAUGGGAGAUCAUUAGAUAUCUCCAAAUAAUGUCUCCAUAUACUAGAUAAAAGUUCCAAUAGUUCCAAUUUUUUGUUUUUCAUUUAAUUUAAUGUUUUUAACAAACUACUAACCCACCAUGAAAAAUUAUAGGACAUGUACGACAAUACAUUAUUCUUAAGAGGAAGUUCAAUAGUAAGCAGAUGCAUUAUUGACAUAGCACUACAUCAUUCUCAAGCCAUUAGACACAGGCUACUCAUACUUCACUAUGAUAGCACAUAUAAUCUUUUGGCUUUUCUUAAUACCAUUCAGCAUAAUAAAUUCCAGUUCUAACAAUUUUGUGGUGAAUGGCUACUGUCAUGGCCAUCAACGUUCCUUGUUGCUCCAAUUGAAAAACAACCUGAUAUUCAACUCCGAAAUAUCUUCAAAGCUAGUUCAUUGGAAGCAAAGUGAACAUGAUUGUUGCCAAUGGGAUGGGGUAACAUGCAAAGAUGGACAUGUUACAGCCCUUGAUCUUAGUCAAGAGUCUAUUUCCGGAGGACUUAAUGAUUCAAGUGCUCUUUUCAGCCUGCAAUACUUGCAGAGCCUGAAUUUGGCUUUGAAUAAGUUUAAUUCCGUGAUUCCUCAAGCGCUGCAUAAACUGCAGAAUUUGAGCUAUCUCAACUUGUCCGAUGCUGGCUUUGACGGGUAUGUCCCAAUAGAAAUUUCUCACCUCACAAGGUUGGUUACUCUUGAUUUGUCAUCUACGUUUAUUUCACAUCAGAGCCUAAAACUUGCAAAGCAAAAUAUGGCGAUACUUGUGAAAAACCUCACAAAUAUCAUAGAAUUGUAUCUAGAUGGUGUGGCAAUAUGUACCAGCGGAGAGGAAUGGGGUCGUGCUUUAUCUUCUUUGGAGGGUCUUCGUGUUUUAAGCAUGUCAUCCUGCAAUCUCUCUGGACCUAUUGAUUCGUCACUAGUUAAGCUUCAAUCACUCUCUCUUCUAAAAUUGAGUCACAAUAAAUUGUCCUGCAUAGUGCCGAAUUUCUUUGCAAAUUUUUCCAAUUUAACCAUCCUACAGCUCAGUAGUUGUGGCUUGCAUGGUUCUUUCCCAAAAGAUAUCUUCCAAAUACACAAAUUGAAUGUUCUUGACAUAUCAGACAAUCAAAAUCUCAAUGGCUCAUUGCCAGACUUUCCACCACUUGCAUCUCUUCACUACUUAAAUCUCACCAAUACAAAUUUCUCAGGACCACUUCCAAAUACUAUCUCCAAUCUAAAGCAGUUAUCAACAAUUGAUCUAUCUUAUUGCCAAUUCAACGGAACACUUCCCAGUUCAAUGUCAGAACUCACCCAACUUGUGUAUCUAGACAUGUCUUCCAACUACCUCACAGGUCCACUCCCUUCUUUCAAUAUGUCGAAGAAUCUCACAUAUCUAUCCCUAUUUCUCAAUCAUUUGAGCGGGGAUUUACCAUCCAGCCAUUUCGAGGGGCUUCAAAAUCUUGUAAGCAUUGAUUUAGGGUUCAAUUCUUUCAAAGGUAAAAUGCCCUCAUCUCUACUUAAGCUCCCAUAUUUGCGAGAACUAAAGCUUCCCUUUAAUCAAAUUGGUGGUCUCUUAGUUGAAUUUGAUAUUGCAUCCUCAGUAUUAGAGAUGCUUGAUUUAGGAAGCAAUAACUUACAGGGACAUAUUCCAGUCUCUGUCUUUAACCUUAGAAAACUUCGUGUCCUUCAACUUUCUUCCAAUAAGUUGAAUGGCACAAUACAAUUGGACAUCAUUCGAAGGCUGAGUAAUUUAACUGUACUAGGCCUCUCAAAUAACUUUUUGUCAAUUGAUGUCAACUUCAGAGAUGAUCAUCAAUUGUCACUAUUUCGAGAGAUAAGAGUUGUUCAGUUGGCUUCAUGCAACUUAAGGGGAAUCCCAAGUUUCUUGAGAAACCAGUCGAAAUUACUAUUUCUUGACAUAUCUCGCAAUGAUAUUGAAGGGUCGAUACCUAACUGGAUUUGGAAACAUGAAUCUCUCCUUAACUUGAACCUUUCCAAGAAUUCUCUGACUAACUUUGAAGAAACUAGUUGGAACUUGAGUUCUAACCUUUAUAUGGUUGAUCUUAGUUUUAACCGGUUGCAAGGGCCUAUUUCCUUCAUUCCAAAGCAUGCUUUUUAUUUGGACUACUCAAGCAAUAAGUUGAGCUCUAUUGUACAACCAGACAUCGGAAACUAUCUCCCUGCCAUAAAUAUAUUGUUUCUUUCAAACAAUAGUUUUAAGGGAGAAAUAGACGAGUCCUUGUGCAAUGCUUCAUACCUACGCUUGUUAGAUCUCUCCUACAACAACUUUGAUGGGAAGAUUCCUAAGUGUUUUGCAACCUUGAGUAGCAGACUGUUGAUGUUGAACUUUGAAGGUAACAAGCUUCAUGGUCAUAUCCCUGAUAUUAUAUCCCCAAAUUCAUGUGCACUAAGAUAUUUGAAUCUGAAUGACAAUCUAUUGAACGGUAGCAUACCCAAAUCUUUGGUCAAUUGCAAUAAACUGCAAGUCCUAAACCUUGGAAAUAAUUUUUUAAGUGACAGAUUUCCAUGUUUCUUAAGCAAUAUUUCCACCCUGAGAAUCAUGGUUUUAAGGUCAAAUAAGCUCCAUGGGUCUAUUGGAUGCCCAACUAGAACUGGUGACUGGAAGAUGCUUCAUAUUGUUGAUCUAGCCUCCAAUAACUUGAACGGAAGAAUACCAGUCUCCCUAUUAAAUAGUUGGAAGGCAAUGAUGCGUGAUGAAGAUGUUCUUGGGACAGAAUUAGGCCAUUUGUUUUUUGACAUUGAUGAUAACUUCCAUCCUAUGAGUUUUAAGGCUAUGUUACCAGCUUUGGACAAACGUGUGUCAACAAAUUUGAUUCCAUUCCUUGAAAACAUGUCUCGCUCUAUUAUUGACCAGGAGUAUGCUAAAUUAAAAAUUCUUGCUCGUUAUCAGGUUUCAAUUAAUAUUGUCAACAAAGGCCAUCAGAUGAAGCUUGUCAAAAUUCAAAGUGCCUUAACUUAUGUUGAUAUGUCAAGCAAUUACUUAGAGGGGCCAAUACCGAAUGAGUUAAUGCAAUUCAAGGCAUUGAAUGCUCUAAACUUGUCACAUAAUGCAUUAAUGGGUCAUAUACCAUCAUUAGUGGGGAAUUUGAAGAAUCUUGAGUCUAUGGACAUUUCAAACAACUCCUUGAAUGGAGAGAUUCCUCAAGAGCUUUCAAGUCUAUCUUUCCUAGCAUAUAUGAAUCUCUCGUUCAAUCACCUAGUUGGACGAAUUCCUUUGGGUACUCAAAUUCAAACAUUUGAUGUAGAUUCCUUUGAAGGGAAUGAAGGAUUGUGCGGACCUCCACUGACCAAGAUAUGUGAACUUCCACAAUCAGCAUCUGAAACACCUCAUUCCCAGAAUGAGAGUUUCGUUGAAUGGAGUUUCAUAAGUAUUGAGUUGGGAUUUCUUUUUGGCUUUGGAGUUUUCAUCCUUCCUGUUUUUUGUUGGAAGAAAUUGCGGUUGUGGUAUUCCAAACACGUAGAUGAAAUGCUUUACAGGUUCAUCCCCCGGCUAGAUUUUGUGUAUGAACAACAUGAAGGGAAGAGAUACAAAACUCUAAAGUGGAUGUACUGACUAUUGGACUCUUGGGUUUUGCACUCUUCAAUUUUAUGGGUUUGUAUUUCCUCACCUUUCUUUGUUUAAAAGCUGUAGUAUCAAAAUAAAGAGUCACCGUUAACAAGUACUCUUCAACAUUACCGUUGUUAAAGCCUGCGAGUCACUGUUAACAAGUCCCCUUGAACAUUACCACUGCAGUUAGUUCGUUAUCUAUUUUUAGAAAUAACCACUCUGUAUUAGAGUGUAUCUGUUACUAUUACAGUUUUAUGUACCAGUUAUAUGUACUUCAAAAGUUAGUUUAACACUGAAUUUUUCUAAUGUCUCCGCUGCUAUUUCUGUUACUAAUUUAUGGUUGUUCUAUUCCAUGGAUUCUUAUUUACUGUAGGUUAUUUCGUAGUUCUGUGAUGGAGUUUUAUAUUGUUCUAUAUGUAUCUACUGCAAACUUAAUGUUUCCUUGCUCCUUCACAGUUUCAUAGAUUAAUAUUAGUCCUUAGUAGUAGAAUAAUGCUUAAUUUUUCCCUGGCUUCUUAUUUUCCUUUUUAACAUCUUCUUUUGCAUUUGGCAGAUUAAAGAAAACUUCAAAAUGCUAAUAAAUACAAUUAGCCCCCCAUCACUAUCUAGCACUGUGUCCCUUAUAUUUCCUCGCCAAUUUUUGCUCGUCCUUCUCCAUCAACAGUUUACAAAACGCACAUCUAUCUAUCUAUCUAUAUUAAUUUAGACACCAUAUUACUUAUGCUGCCACGUAUAAUCUAUUCCAUGAUCCUCAUUUCUUAUUUGUUUGCUAAGAAACGAAAUGCAUUCCUUUGUUGGCAGUUACUCAUAACUCCAUCAAUUACUUUCUUUUGUUGUUACUCUACCUUAUUCUUCCAUAAUAACUCCAUUGAUGGUUGUUUGUGCAUAUGGGAAAAUUGCACCAUUAUUUAUUCACCAAAAUAAAAUAGCUACGGAACCAAAAUAUUAACUUUUCACAAACACCUAAUUUAUACCAUAAGCAACAUCACUCUUGCCAGCUGAACCCGCAGACACCCCUCUCUGCAGGGUCCACCUUGUGAAAACAAACACCUCAACUCAUUCACGGCGCACAUACAUUAUGCGACUUGGAUUUGCACAUUCAUCCUUUCCAUCAUGUUCUCUCUUCACUUUGUGCUUGGAUCUGCAGUUAGCAUUUUCAUCGUCUCUAUUCAUUUGCCUCCGUUAAUCUUGCAAAUUGGGCAUUAUUCUGUUUUAAAUUAACACGUUCUAUCUUUUUUACAGUAUAUACAAUCAAAAUAUGGCCUUAAAUGUCACAAUCACACACAAGAAGUGGAGUUCAAAAUUUGGCACGGGGGGCAUCUAGGUCUGAAAUAAUAACGUAAUUUAUAAUGUCAAUGAAUCCUUCAAAUUACAAUUUCUGGUGUUUCUUUAGUCCUAUUGAAGUUUAUCUGCAAACUAUGUGUUUGUCUUUAUAGCAGCGGAAAUACUUUUUCUCUAUUGUCAAAUAAAUUCGAUGAAUAAUGCAAUUCAAGUAUAAUCCUCAGUAGUGGUUACUUUAGAGUCUUAUAAUUUUAGCAGUAAAUUGUUUGUCAAGUAAUUUUUUUCUUGUGAAACUUAAUUAAAGUUUGAGUGUCAUUUUAAAUUGGACAUAGUUAUGUAAUUCAUAUAGCCUCAUUUAUAUAUAUUCUUCAAAUUAAAUUACAUGAACUUUUUUUAUUUAAAACUUUCAUGUUUUCUCCAUUUUAACUUCCACCAAACUGGAAUAUAGCAUCGUAGCUUUCAUUGUGGGAUCUCAUUUUCCACACCUAUAAGGUUCAAAUUAUGGAUUUUCUACGGUCAUUAUAAUUGGAAGGUCUAAAAGGAUGCAAAAGUUACUCCAAGAGAAGUAAAUCCUACACCCAAUUCAAGUUAUUUUGGUUUUUAUGAUAUUAUGACUACUAUAUGAAUCAAAUCAAAUUAUUUUAGAAAACAUGCAAUAUAACUCUCAAAUAUAAGAAACAAAAUCCUUGCAAUGCGCGGGUCUCAAUCUAGUAGGUUUAAUAUAUCACCAACAACCUCACCAUGCCCAGCAACAUCAAAGUAUAUUUGUGUUCUAACAUACACUUGAAAAUCGUGGUUAAUGACUGUUGAAAAUUAGCUUCAAAUUUGUGGUUUGAAAGAACAGAGAAAUCGUGCACGAUUUCAUCAACGUGUCAUGAUUUUCAAGCAGGGAGCAUGGUUUCUCAGGUUGCUCAAUCGUGUCACGAUUUUGGAAAAACGUGACACGAUUUUCAAACUUGUUGGGUAUGUUUUCAGGAUAAGGUUGAUCGUACCUUGGGUCGUACGCACCAAUCGUGCCACGAUUUUGACAGCUGAAGACUGCUAUAUAAGUGUUCUUGAGCAGAUUUUGAAGGAGAGCUGGAAGAGAGAGAAACUUGGAUUACAAAGGAGGUUACUUUAGGGUUGAGUGUCUUUGUAGUGAGGAUCUCUUGGGUUGGGAAACAUUGUAAACACCUUGGGUAGUGAGAUUUCACCAUUGGAAGAAUCAAAAGCUUUCUUUUGUGUCUUCUCUUUAGGGUUCAUCAUUGAGAGAGUGAGUAACACAAAUGGGUAGAAAUUAGGUCUUGUUCUUGUGUAAGCUUGCAAGCUAUUUUCUUGUAACUCUUUGCAACACUUUCAUCAUAGUGGAUUGGAGAGCUGCUCUCUCCUCCAGAUUAGGUCAUAUUGGACCGAACUGGGUCAACAAUCUUUUGGUGUGUUUCUUCCUUUCUUUCAUUGCUUAUCUUUGUGCUUUGUUUAUGCUUGUGGUGUUGCUCUACACUAAUUAGUCUAGGUCUGUUUUUGUUGUUGUUGCUUGGAGACACUUUACACAUUGAUUACCACUUCCUUUGCUCCACACAUCUUUGUUUUUAUUUUUUUUGGUAGAUACACGAAAUGGCAAAGCCAUUAUAAACUCACACACACAAGUGGAGGUACCGGGGUUCGAACCCCGGUCAUGACAUCCGGCCUAACAAUUUCGGCAUUUUGCCAGUUGAGCUAGGACUUCUGGAUCCACACAUCUUUGUUAUUCAUUGGUGUGAUUUUUACCGGAAUUCACAACAAUGACAUUCAAAGUUAUUAUUAAUUGUUCGUUGUUGAUGGCUAAUGAGUCACGACCUCUUAAUGAUUUCAUUAACCAGUAAUUGAAUUGCAUUAACCAUAUAUUAAAUUGUGUUAACCAUCUAACUAAUUGUCAGAUUUAAUAGAUACAUGAUGUUGCCUGAUGUGGGUUUGUGUGUUUUUGAUGACUAGGUUAGAAAACUCCAUUCCGUAGAAUGGGCAUAUUGAACCACACCCUCCACCCGACCACUGACGAAUCUCCUUUCCAUUAAACUUACUGAACUGAAGCUGUUAUUUCAGUUGAACUAGAAAAACUCAAUUGGAGAGAACAACUCCCAUUGACAUCGAAACAAAUGGUGAAAGUCUUCGCGAAGAGCUAGAUUUUGUUGAAGAAAUCAGAAGCAAAGUAGCACUAAAAGAAGCAGCAAUCAAGCAAAAUAUAGUUGUUAGAUAUGACAAAAAAGCGAAUAAGCGAGAAUUCGAGGUAGGCAAUCUAGUCCUCAUGAGAAAUCAGAAGGACGAGAAGGAUACAGAACAACUAAAGCUCUCUCUAAACUUGAAAACAAGAAUGGUAAGGCAGAACCCUAACUCGCCAUGGGAUCUUCACGAGUCGCACAAAGUCAUCCCUAUUCACUAUAUGAAUGAUGACUUGAAGGGAAACUAAUCUAGACUACCCAAAUGACCUUGAUUGUCCACCUAGGACCCAAAAACUAGGCACAAUUCACUAAAGUUCAAGGGAAAUUAUUCACACCCCCACUCAACUAGGAGGUGUGCUUGCAAAGGUCAGAAGUCUCGGAUCCCCAAGGAUUCUGAAAUGCUUCCUUCUCACUUAAAUAUGUAAUGUUUGAUGAUUACGAAACCCUCCUUCUAUAACUGACAACUGACGAAUGCCAGCCAUAUUAUUCUUAUGAUUGCCACUCUUCACCUAUAUAAGAGGGCUUUUCGAGCCCUCCAAGGUAGGAAUAUUUCAACCUUUACAUUUUUAUAAUAUAUUGCUCACAUAUUGACGAGCGUCAGAGUAAUUUCUCUAGACAACACCGCAUUCCAACCAGAAGUUGUUCAUCUUAAAAAUCGUGGUUGAAUCUAACACAACCCCACAAAACCGUGGUUGGGCCUAACACAACCCCACAAAACCGGCUUGUGAGAUGAGGAUUGCCCCUCUUAUAAACACAUUGUCAGACCAUGACUUGUCCAAUGUGGGACUCUUAACACACCCCUCACGACCAACAUUAUUGGGCUUGGUUCGUGGACAUAAAUGGUGGGUGGUCCGAUAGGGGAAACCUGAUAGCAGAUGACCCAUUGGAUCUUGGAGAGUGGUUUCUCUAGACAACUCCGCAUUCCAACCAGAAGUUGUUCAUCUUAGAAAUCAUGGUUGGACCUAACACAACCCCACAAAACCGGCUUGUGAGGUGAGGAUUGCCCCAGUUAUAAACACAUUGUUAGGCCAUGACUUGUCCGAUGUGGGACUCUUAACACACCCCCUCACGACCAGCACUAUUUGGCUUGGUUCGUGGACAUAAAUGGUGGGUGGUCCGAUAGCGGAAACCUGAUAGCAGGUGGCCCAAUGAUUUGAACUUCAUAACUGCAAAGAUUUGGUUCCAUGAUUUGAACUUGUGUGGCCUAUAAAUCACAAGAUAAUAACCACACCAUUGAGCUAAGGCUUGCCUUCUCUGAUAAUCGAAAAAGUAAAAUUAUAAACAUUUAUUAGUGUUUAAUUAGAGAAGUUAGAAUAGACUAACUAGAAGAACAAAUCAAAAUAGACCAAAUCACUAUGAAAAAUUGAAUUCAAUUGACUUAUUUAAAUGACCAUAUUUAGUUGGAAAUUAUUUGGUUGUUAUUGCUAUCUGUGUACUUAAAUUUAAAAUAAUAACACAAAUAGAGAAUUACAAAGUUCAAAUCAUUUUAGUCUAUAUAAAGGAACAAAUGUAUACAUUAUUAUUGACAAGCCAUUAGACACAAGCUACUCAUAAUUCACUAUGAGAGCACACAUAACCUUUUUGCUUUUCUUGAUACCAUUCAGCUUAAUCAAUUCCAACUCAAAUAAUUUUUUGGUUAAUGGCUACUGUCAUGGCCAUGAACGUUCUUUGUUGCUCCUUUUGAAAAACAGUUUGAUAUUCAACCCCAAAAAAUCUUCAAAGCUAGUUCAAUGGAACCAAAUUGAUGAUGAUUGUUGCCAAUGGAAUGGGGUAACUUGCGUAGAGGGACAUGUUACAGCCCUUGAUCUUAGUCAAGAGUCUAUUUCCGGAGGACUUAAUGAUUCUAGUGCUCUUUUCAACCUGCAAUAUCUGCAGAGUCUGAAUUUAGCUUUAAAUGUUUUUCGUGCUACAAUUCCUCAAGAGCUGCAUCAACUUCAGAAUUUGAGGUAUUUGAACUUCUCCAACAUUGGCUUUGAAGGACAGAUCCCUAAGGAAAUUUUUCACCUCAAAAGGUUGGUCACAUCAUGUCCUAAAACUUGAGAAUCCAAAUAUACACUACUAACAAAACAAAAAUUAGUGAGGGAAAUUUAGUGAGGGAAAACAUGAAAUCCCUCUCUAAUUCCGUCACUAAAUUUUGCAACCAAGGAAUUUGUGAGGAAUUUUAUGUUUUCCGUCACAAAUUUUCCUCCCUAAGUUUGCUUUUCCUAGUAGUGAUAGGAAUGUUUGUGAAAAACCUCAGAUAUCACAAAAUUGUAUCUAGAUGGUGUAGCAAUAUCAGCCAGCGCAGAAGAAUGGGGUCGUUCUUUAUAUCCAUUGGGGGGGCUUUGUGUGCUGAGCAUGUCAUCAAGCAAUCUCUCUGGACCUAUCCAUUUUUCGCUAGCAAGGCUUCAGUCACUCUCUAUUCUAAAAUUGAGUCACAAUAAUUUGUCAAGCAUAGUGCCAGACUCCUUUGCAAAUUUCUCCAAUUUAACAACCCUACAAAUCAGUAGUUGUGGCUUGAAUGUUUUUCUCCCAAAAGAUAUAUUCCAAAUCCACACAUUAAAGGUCCUUGACAUAUCAUACAAUCAAAAUCUUAAUGGUUCUUUGCCAGAUUUCUCACCACUUGCAUCUCUUAAGUAUUUAAAUCUUGCCUAUAGAACUCACCCAACUUGUUUAUUUAGACUUGUCAUUUAAUAACUUCACAGGCUUACUCCCUUCUUUAAGCAUGUCCAAGAACCUCAUAUAUAUAUCUCUCCUUCGAAAUUAUUUAAGGGCAAAUUUACCAUCCAACCAUUUUGAGGGCCUCAUAAAUCUUGUUAGCAUCAACUUAGGGUUCAAUUCUUUCAACGGGAAUGUGCCAUCAUCUAUUCUUAAGCUCCCAUGUUUGAGAGAACUAAAGCUUCCCCAUAAUAAUCUCAGUGGUAUCUUGGGUGAGUUUCACAAUGCUUCUUCACCUCUAUUGGAGAUUCUAGAUUUGUCCAAUAAUUAUUUACAAGGCCCUAUCCCAUUAUCUAUCUUUAACCUUCCAACACUUCGUUUCAUUCAACUUUCUUUCAACAAGUUUAAUGGUACGAUAAAGUUGGAUGCCAUUAGAAGGUUAAGUAAUUUAACUAUCUUAGGGCUAUCAUAUAACAAUCUUUUCAUUGAUGUCAACUUCGAAGAUGAUCAUAACAUGUCAUCCUUUCCAAAGUUGAGAGGUCCAGGUUUGGAUUCCUACAAGCUGUUACAAUUUCCUAGUUUCUUGAGAAACCAGUCCACAAUAUUAUCUAUUCACCUAUCUGACAACAACAUUGAAGGACUAAUACCUAAGUGGAUUUGGCAUUGAAUCUCUCAUUACCUUGAAUAUUUCCCUUAAUUUUUUGACAGGUUUUGAAGAAAGUUUUUCAAACUUCAGUUCUAACCUUAACUCUGUUGAUCUUAGUUUUAACAACCUCCAAGGGCCAAUUUCUUUAGUUUCAAAGUACGCAACUUAUUUGGACUAUUCAAGCAAUAAAUUCAGCUCUAUCAUUCCACCAGACAUUGGGAACCACCUCCCUUACAUAAUUUUCUUGUUUCUUUCAAUCAACAAAUUUCAAGGACAAAUCCAUGAUUCUUUUUGUAAUGCAUCUAGUCUUAGGCUGCUAGACCUUUCCCACAAUAACUUUGUUAGGACAAUUCUCAAGUGUUUUGCAGCACUGAGUAGCAGUCUAAGAAUGUUGAAUUUCGAGGUCAUAUUCCAAAUGGUAUGUUUCAAAAUUCAUGUGCACUAAGGAUUUUGGAUCUAAAUGACAAUCUUUCAGAAGGUCCUAUACCAAAAUCCUUGGUCAAUUGUAAGGAACUUCAAGUCUUUAACCCUGGAAUGAAUGCAUUAACGGGCAGAUUUCCAUGUUUUCUGAGCAAAAUUUCACCGGAACGAUAUCAUCUGCACUCCUCAAUAGCUGGAAAGCAAUGAUGCGUGAUGAAGACGUGCUUGGGCCAGAAUUCGGAAAUUUGUUUUUUGAUGUUUUUGAUAACUAUCAUCCAACGGGUUUGCAGGAUGCAUUACGAAUUAUGAACAAACAUUAUGCUAGGAAAGUGGUUCAAAUUGUUUUAAAUAUGUCCCAUUCUGAUCUUGAUCAGGUGUUAUCUGACAGUAGUGCAAAAGAUUUGGACCGUGGUUGAUAUCAGGAUUCAGUUAUUAUUGUUAACAAGAUGAAGCUUGUUGUCGCAUAAUCAAAAUAUUAAUUAGAAUAUUAUACCAUUUAUACCGUUUAUUUUUCAAUUAUUGUAGGGUUAAUAGGUCUUUACCCCCCUGUAAUAUAGGUCAUUUUCGAUUUUCCCUCCUGUAAAAUAUUUUUUUUUAUUUACCCCCCUGUAAUUUUUUUUUGUUUUGAUUUACCCCCCUAAUAGGCCAAACAAAAACGAAAAAUUCUUGAAAAAAUAAAAUAAAAUUCGUUUUUGUUUGGCCUAUUAGGGGGUAAAUCAAAACAAAAAAAAAAUUAUAGGGGGUAAAUCAAAAUAAAUAUUUUACAGGGGGAAAACCGGAAAUGACCUAUAUUACAAGGGGGUAAAGACCUAUUAACCCAUUAUUGUAUUAUUAGGUAGUCAACUAUUGUCAUUAACCUGUAAUUAUGUAGGAUCUCUGCAAUUAAUUAGGAUUCUAAUUUUUUCUGUAUUAAAGAGACAAUUCCCCUGUACAUUUGAAUAUAUCAAGAAAUUAUUCUCCUCUCAUUCUUUUUCUACUUGGCAUCAGAGCAAUUUCUCUGCAGCCUACGCUGGACCUCUGUUCUUCCAUGACUGACAGUUCCUCAGUUAAUAGUGAAGAGGAGAAUAAAACUCUCAAAAACAUGUUGCCUAAAAAUGAGCAGAAGGUUGCUUAUGGCGGUGAUUCUCAUUCUAUCCAAAUCACCUCUUUUCGACUCAAUGGGUCGAACUAUUUUAGGCGGUCUCAAUCUUUCUAGAUGUAUAUACGUGGCAAAGGAAAAAUGGGUUAUCUUACUGGUGAUCGCAAAGAACCAGAUGCUAAUGACCCACAACAUGAUGUGUGGGAUGCUGAAAACUCCAUGGUAAUGACAUGGUUGGUAAACUCCAUGGAAGGGGAAAUCAGCAACAACUAUAUGUGUUAUUCCACAACAAAAGAAUUAUGGGAAAGUGUGAAAGAAAUGUACUCUGAUCUGGAAAAUAAGUCUCAGAUCUAUGAACUUACAUUGAAGGCUAGAGAAAUUCGGCAAGGAAGUGAAAAUGUCACAAAAUACUUCCAUUCCUUAAAACGGAUUUGGCAAGAACUUGAUAUCUUCAACCCCUAUAAGUGGAAUUCAACCAAGGAUGAGAAACACCAUCAACAAACAGUGGAAGAAGGAAGAAUUUUCCAGUUUCUUACCUGUCUCCAUGAGGAGUUAGAUGAAGUUCGUGGAAGGAUCAUUGGAAGAUCAACCUUACCUUCUCUAAGAGAAAUGUUUUCUGAAGUUAGAAGGGAGGAAACUCGCAGGAGUUUCAUGAUGGCAAAGGCAAAAUCUGAUCCAUAUCCUUCUGAGUUGCACCUCAAAUAUGUCUGCGCCAUGGAUCAUAGAUUCAGGUGCUUCUGACCAUAUGACCGGCCUUUCUUCUCUAUUUCAAACAUAUUCACCUUGUUUUGGAAAUAAAAAAAUUAAAAUUGCAGAUGGAAGUUUUUCACCAAUUGCAGGAGAAGGAAAAAUUCCUUUAUCUACGCACAUUGAUUUAAAAAAUGUGCUACAUGUACCAAAACUUUCAUAUAACCUUCUCUCUGUUAGUAAAAUCUUCGAAGACUCAAAUUGUAACGUGAAGUUAUUUAACUCUCAUUGUAUUUUUCAGGACCGGAAUUCGGGGAAGAUGAUUGGCAGUGCUAAAAUGAUGUAUGGACUCUAUUACCUUGAGGGUGUUUUUGAGAAUAAAGUGGCUCUUGGCCUUAGUUGUAUCAGUUCUGCCUCUGUUAGGAAUCAAAUAAUGCUCUGGCAUAAUAGACUAGGGCACCCUAAUUUUCAAUAUCUUAGGCAUUUGUUUCCAGAUUUAUUCAAAAAUGUUAUAAUUGUUCUUCUUUUGAAUGUGAAAGUUGUUUUAUUUCUAAAAGUCAUAAAACUCCUUAUUCCUCUCGACCUUAUCAUGUAUCCAAACCUUUUUAUUUAAUCCAUAGUGAUGUAUGGGGUCCAUCUAAUAUUACAACUUGUUAUCGUGGUUUUUGGGUGCCAAGCCAUUAAUUGGACUUGAACCUUUUGACCGUUGAUAUCUCUCUUUUUUCUUGGGAAGGGUAAAAGGAGAAAAACCCUUGAGUUUCCAGAUUCGGGGGUCGUUUUCGCUACGGGAAGGUGUUAGGCACCCGGAGCGAUUAUGGUAUUCCAUAAGAACCGUUCUCCUAAGUUUAUUUCUACGCUUUAAUUUUAUUGCUUAUUUGUAAAAAAAGAAGGUGUGAUUAGUUAAGAAUGGGGGUGAGAAGAAGUAGAAUUUGAUUUUUUGUUUCGGCUUGGAUGAGUUUUGACUCAUUGCCUACGUACCGUUUUACGGGAUCAAAACCAGCGUAGUUCUUGCUAAAAAGACUUGUUGUUUUUUUUUGUUUUAAUUGUUUGAUUUUAAAUUUUGAAAAUGAUUUGAAGAAGGGGAUUGAGAGGCUUCAUGAGCAUUAGAGUAUGAAAAAGUGAGGGUUUGUUUAGUGAUUUUGCAAAAAAGUCUUAAUGAUUAGGUUUAUUUGAGAAUUUGAUUAAGAAAAUAAAAGGGGAAAAAUUAUUGGAGUUUUGACUCCAUUUUUAUGAAAAAAUAUUUGAAGUGAAUUUGUUUGCAUAUUUUUUGGAAAAAAUUGGAUUUUCUCUAAGUGUUCGAAACUAAGCGUUCAUCUAAUCAUGCAAUCCUAGCCAUACAUCUAUGCAUACAGUCCUAAGCAUACAUCUAGGGUGAGUGCGUGCGUGUCGGUGCGUCAUAGUGUCCAUAGUCCAUAUUACAAAAAUUGCCUAAAUACAUUCUAUGGCCCCUUUGCCAAGCUACAAACCAAUGAUAACAAAUUACAUUACCAAAUGAAUUAAAACUUGCAAAAACAUAAAUGCUAAGCUAAAGAAAGUGGAGGAGAUAGUGAAAUGCAAUGAGUGAAGUCACAUAAGGAACAAAAUGUUAGUGAAACAAGGAAAAAUAUAAUGGGAAUGAUAACAAAAUGCACCAAAUGAAUAUGCAACAAAAUUUAAUGAGCAAGAAUUAAAAGAACAAAGUAAAGAAAAUAAAUGCAAAAAUAAGCAAAUAAAUUCUAAAACUUAGAGGAAAAAUCAAAAUGAUAGAGAAACAUUUUUAGAAAAAUUUUGGAAGCAUAAAACACCAAGAAAGUGUAAAAAAGGUAUUAAAAAAAAAACAAUUAAAAAACAAUUAAAAAGAGGCUCAGCAGGAUUUAAUCUGGACCGUUGGAUGAAUCCAGAGGUCCAGAUCUAGCUCCCAAGAUCACAUCACAGCCACUGGAUCAAAGAUCCAAGGGUCCAAAAAAAAGCACAAAAGAUAGUGUAAAAUUGCAGGAAGCACAAUGACCGUUAGAUCAAAGAUCUAACGGUUCAAACAGAGGACACACCAAAUUUCACGCAGGAGAAAAUACAUACAAUUCAGAAUCACAACGCGUUGUAGCCGUUAGAUCAAGGAGAGAUCCAGAUCGAAUGGCUAUUAACGCGAUGAAGUGCUGAGUUAACGUACACACACAUACAUAGGAACGGCCAAAAAAGCAUUAUAAAAAGAGUUUUCCACAAAAAAAACAUCACAACACACAAACGCUUCUCUCUCUAAGGUUUCCUAGAGAGAGAAGCUCUGCAACAAGCUCCAUCUUCUCCGGUGAGCAGUGGUUUUCCGGCGCGGUGGCCGGUGGUGGCGCCGCCGCGCCGGAGUUUUAAAACUCCUCUGUUUCAAAAAUUUUUUACGUUUUCUUACAUCCUUUUUCUUCUAUUUCUCGAAUCUGAGCUUAGUUUUUUGAAAAAGAAUUUCAACCGGAGUAGAUCUGAGUUUGAAUCUUGACAAAAAAAACUUAAGAAAACGGAAAGGAAAAGAGGGAGAACGACGGCGGUUACCUCACGGUUGCGAUGACUCUUGGCUUGGCGUCGUUGCUUCGUGUUUGCGUUUCUGUUGUUUCGCGUUCUGCUGCUGUGCUUCGUGUGCUGUUUUGCUUGCUGUUUUUCGGUUUCUUCUUCUUCCUUGCAGAUUCGGUUCCCUCUUCUUCUCCCACCGUGAUCGGUGCUUGAGUUCUUCACUUCCGGUGAGGAAUUCGCACCUUGUAUUGCGGUGGAAUCGAUUCGAUGAUGAAGAUUCGUACACGAAUCUCUGAGAAUUGAUGAUGAAUUUUCGGUUAGGGUUCUUGUGUUCUUGGUGAAUCUGUUUUCUUUGAUCUAACAGAAUGGAGAGAGAAAAUGGGAAUUCGUUUUUUGGUGAUGUGUAUUGUAAUGAGUGGAUCUGAUCUAUGUGGCACUGUGAACAGUAUUUAUAGCUGACAUGUGUGAGUGAUUGGACCAAUAGGAAACUGACAUGUGGCAUUGGACUUGUGAUUUGGGCGCUGCCUUGUAAUUUUGGACUUUGAGGACCUCCCUGCAAUUUUGUAAAAUAUGGAACUGGACUGCAAUUUUAAAAACAGAACUCAAAAUAUAAAAAAUUGGACAAUUUGGACUUAAAUGCAAUUUUAACAAAAUUAAGGGACUACAAUGCAAAGUAAAAAUAAAAUGAAUUAAAAUUUGUAAUCUUGACCAAACGUAAAGUGAACCUAAAUAAAACCAACAAACGGACUAAAACGAACCAAUGGCCUAAAUGAGGUACUUCAAAGUAACCUCCCUAUGCCAAAAUUUUGUGUGAAAUGACCAAAAUGCCCCUAGGGCUAAAAAUGACCUAAACAGAUUGAAAUUGACUUAACACUGACUCAGACGCAAGUUUGAAAUGAAUUUAACAAGGUUUACUGAUGAAAUAAAAACAAUCUGAAAAGACUCAGAGACAGUUACAAGGAUGAAAAUGGGUCCCACUGCAGGAAAUGACCAAAAUACCCUUCUGUAUGACUUUUUGCAAAUUUUGAAAUAAACUGUAGAAAAAGCAAUGCAAUGAUUCAGAGACACUUUUGAAUGACUUACAAGACAAGUAAAGACAUUUCGAAAGGUUUUAUGCAAGAAAAACAUAGGUAAGAUUGUGAUUGAAAAUACUGCGAGGCAGAGACAAUUUGAACUGUGCCGUUGAAAUUUGACAAUUGACAAAGUUUGAAAUGAAAUUGGGCCCAGUAUUUUUAGGUCCAAAAACAGGGUAUAACACAACUCAAUUUGGGAAAAGGUGGUUUGUGAUCUUUAUUUAUGAUCAUACUCAGCUAUGUUGGGUCUAUCUUAUGAAGGAUAAAUCUGAAGUACCAGAGAUAUUUAAAUGUUUUUCAAAAAUGAUAGAAACUCAAUUUGAUGCAAAAAUCUCCAUUUUGAGAAGUGACAAUGGUACUGAAUAUUUUAAUAAAAACCUCGGAGAGUUUUUCCAACAUAAAGGCAUUCAACAUCAAUCAACAUGCCCAAAUACGCCUCAACAAAAUGGCAUAGCUGAAAGAAAGAAUAGACAUCUUCUUGAGGUAGCUCGUGCCAUUAUGUUUUAGAGCAAUGUUGUAACGCCCUAUUUCUAUUAAAGUGAUAAAACACGCGAGUAAUAUAAAUAUUCAAGUAAUAGACGCCACGUCUUCAAUAAAAUCCAAAACAACAUGCAUGUAUAAAUAUUCUCAACAGUUGCAGCGGAUAUAAACCAUACACCUCAAAGUAUACAUGCCAUGAGAUCAAAUACAUCAUCAUCAAACUCUCCAAAACAUAAAUACAUCCAGGAUAGACAAUCUAAGAUAAAUCAUAAGACCGGCACCUAGAUCAGAGCCUAUCCUAGACUCUAAGGAAACCGAUACCGGAGAUAGCUCCUGAUAUCCAAGCAAGCACCAAGCAACUCAUCAAAACAACUAAUCAUGCACGUCGUCUACUCAUCCAUACAGACAGAUAGGCGGUCAAAACCACUGGGGGUAAGCUUUACAUCAAUCAUAAUCAAUAAAAUAAAUUUAAACAUACGUGGAUCAUUUCAAGUUCCAAAUAAUUAACAUGAAUAUUUAAUCUCAAUAAUAAUUCAUAAUGAUAAAUCCAAAUAUCACAACCAAUCACUCACAUCCACAAGUAUGUCAAUUAUUUCACAUUUAGGACUCAUGCCACAAUAUGGUAUGUCCCUAGACAUGACACAUAAAUUACCUAUGCUACUUAAAAUCUCGUGUUACAGCUUCUUUCAAAACAAAAAAACCUCGUGUUACAUCUUUCAUUGGUCUUCCCCAUCCUACUUAAAAUCUCGUGUUUCAUGGGGUCAUAUUUCCUUAUUCUUUGUCUCUUUCAUAUCGUCUCUUGUCGUAGAUAUUAUGAUUUUCUUUAUGAAGUUCCUGCAAAAAUGUACAACUAGUAAUUAUACAAUGAAGUACUAUCAUGAUUUUCUUUAUUAAAUUUUACCCUACAACCCCAAACAAAACGGUAAGGGUUGAUUUAAUCAACAGACUUAAUUACAUGUACGAAGCGGUAAGACUUAAUUUCAUAUAAUAAUUAUAGCCUAACAAAUUCUAACACAAUAAUAAUCCAUUUGAAAAGCAACCUGGUAUUAAACUCCACAAAAUUCUCAACCUAAUUCAUUGGAAGAGGAUGGUAAAAUGGGUUGGUUCCAUCGAGUUGACCCAUUUAACCCGUCAUUUUUAGUAGAGUGGGUUGAGAUUUUGAGCCUGCCAUUAGUAGAGUGUCCGCUCCGCCUAACCCGUUAAAAAGCGGGACGGUACAGAUUGACCCGUUGAGUUGAUAUAUUAAAAAGAAACUCUUAUUUUCACUUCUUUUUAUAUAUCAGUCACAAUAAAAUUUUAGAUUUUCUCCUCCGUAUAGUGGAGAAAAAAAUUCAAUUAAUUUUAUCACUUUUGUUUCAUGAUUUUAGCUUCAUAUUUUUUACUGUUAGUCAAAUAAAAACUCAUGAAGUUUUUAUUUUGAAUAUCUUAUUGAUCUAUUAUAGUUUUUUAGAUGAUGUAGUUUAUAUGUUAGAAUGAUUAUUUUAAUUUUUUUAGUGGAGUCAAUAGUUUAGAUAUUUAGAUUUCUUAUAACUUUCAAUUUUUUUUAGUUUAUCACUUCCAAGCAUAAAACUAAUUCACUAGAUAUUACAAAUAAAAAACAUCAUUUGUUUCCUCUUUCUUUUCCUUAUCAUCUGAUUUCAUUCACUUUUUAAAUUAUCCAAAACAUGCUCAGUUUUUUUUUUACAAAAAAAAAAAAUAAAAAAUAAAGGAAAACAAGCUAUUAAAUUAUAAGAAAAUGCAACCAAUGUAUUAUGAUAUAAAUAUAGGAAAACAAUUUAUUCUACUCUUUUAUAAGUAUAAGAAAAUUGUUAAUUCUCAUAUUUAUUAAUCUCUUAAUCUCACUAAUUCUCAUAUAAAAAAAUUAAUAGAAACACAACAUUAAUGUUGAUAUUUUUUAAACAAUCAUUAGUUUUCAAAAUUUAAGCAUAUAAACUUUCGCAUAUCAGUAUACAUAAAAUUUGAUUUUGGAGAUAUAAACACAUAAAAUCUGCAAUGAAUGCAAUACAAAUAUUUAACAGUGUUUUAAAUAUAAAAUAAAAAUUUAUUUAAUAGAAACACUACUAUAAUUUUGAUAUUUUUAAAAAUAGUCACGAGUUCUCAAAAUUUUAUCACUCUACCACAAGCUCCCAUACUAUAUUUUUCUAACAAAGCUAUCAAAGUUAUGUUCGGUCAUUCACGGGACAUAGUAAUACACAUGUUAGACAAACCCUUUUUUAAACGGUCAUGCUAAGUUGUGCUCUUAGGGCACAAGUUAAGAACCUAAAAAGAGAAUUAAAAUAUAACUUUUUUUAUUGAAAAGAUAAAAUUUUAUAAUUUUAAUACAUUGAAUACACAAUUUUCACAAAAAAGUUUUUAUGUGUAGUUACUAAACUUAUUCCUCAAGGGAAAAAGUACAAUACGGCUUCUACAAUCUCACCGUGUUUGGUAUAUAUGCAAUUGACUAAGUAAUGAUGUUUUCUAUUAAGGAUAUAUCAUAUAUGUAAUUGACUAAUUGUCGCUUUCUUUAUUAGCAAUAUUACUUACAUUUAUAUUUCUAUUGUUGUCGCGUCUGUUUAGUGUCUCUUUGUUUGUUGAGAACGAUGCUAUUGUUGAUUGUUGUGUGAAGGCAAUUUUAUUGUUGUGACUUAUCGUUUUUCUAUGCCUGUUUGGUCUAGGUUUUCCGCCUUUUUUUUUUUUUGCUUGAGUUUUAGUCCAUAUUUUGUAUUUUGAAUAUUAUUUUUUUUGGUACAAACUGUAUUUUCAGUUUUAAUAAGUAGUUUAAAUUUAAUUUUUUAUUGAAGUAUUCCAAUCGUAUUGUAUCUUAAAUUUUAAAAAAUUUCCGUAUGAAUGUUGUAUCGUAUCAUGUAUCUAGGCUUCAUAUGCGAAUAGGUAGUCACACGGUUUGACUCUUUAAAACGAAUGUGGGUUCGUCUUUGUUCUUACAAGCCUGUUUGAGAACGUGAAACAAUGUGAGAGCUAAUAUCAUGAAUAGUUUACUCUUUUUACUACAUAACCAUUUAACAAAAUUUCUUUUUAAAAGAAAAAAAAUUAACAAUCAGCAUUACGUAAGCUUGGUUGACCAAUCUAAUCAAUAGCUAAGCUUGUUGCUGCAUGUAGUCUAUAAAAGGAGAAAAAUAUAUGUUAUUGAUAUAACACCACUUCAUCAUUAUCAAGCCAUUAGAUACAGCCUACUCAUAAUUCACUAUGAGAGCACACAUAGUCUUUUUGCUUUUCUUUAUACCAUUCAGCUUAAUCAUUUCCAGCUCAAAUAAGUUUUUGGUCAAUGGCUACUGUCAUGGCCAUGAACAUUCUUUGUUGCUCCAAUUGAAAAACAGUCUGAUAUUCAACCCCACAAAAUCUUCAAAGCUAGUUCAUUGGAACCAAAGUGAUGAUGAUUGUUGCCAAUGGCACGGGGUGACAUGUAAACAGGGACAUGUUACAGUCCUUGAUCUUAGUCAAGAGUCUAUCUCCGGAGGACUUAAUGAUUCAAGUGCUCUUUUCAGCCUGCAAUAUCUGCAGAGUCUGAAUUUGGCUUUUAAUCACUUUCGUUCUGUGAUUCCGCAAGACUUGCAUAGGCUACAUAAUUUGAGGUAUUUAAACUUGUCUAAUGCCGGCUUUAAGGGACAGGUUCCGGAGGAAAUUUCUCACCUCAAAAGGUUGGUCAUUCUUGAUUUUUCUUCUAAAUUUAUUUCACUGCAGAACUUAAAACUUGAGAAGCCAAAUAUAGGAAUGCUUGUGCAAAACCUUACAGAUAUUACAGAAUUAUAUCUAGAUGGUGUUGCAAUAUCAGCUAGGGGAGAGGAAUGGGGUCAUCCUUUAUCUUUAUUGAAGGGGCUUCGUGUUUUGAGCAUGUCAUCAUGCAAUCUCUCUGGACCUAUUGAUUCUUCACUAGCUAAGCUUCAAUCACUUUCAAUUGUAAAAUUGAGCCAAAAUAAAUUGUUUACAACUGUGCCAGAUUGGUUCAGAAAUUUCUCCAAUUUAACCAUCCUACAACUCAGUAGUUGUACCUUGAAAGGUUUUUUCCCAAAAGAUAUCUUCCAAAUACACACAUUAAAAGUCCUUGACAUGUCAAACAAUCAAAACCUUUAUGGUUCUUUGCCAGAUUUCCCACCAUUCGCAUAUCUUCACUAUUUAAAUCUCAACAAUACAAAUUUCUUAGGACCACUUCCAAAUACUAUCUCCAAUCUGAAGCAGAUAUCAACCAUUGAUCUAUCUUACUGCAAAUUCAAUGGAACGAUUCCCAAUUCAAUGUCAGAACUCACCCAACUUGUUUAUUUAGACAUGUCUUCCAAUAACCUCACAGGUCCACUCCCUUCGUUCAAUAUGUCCAAGAACCUCACAUAUUUAUCCUUAUUUCUCAAUCAUUUGAGUGGGGAUUUACCAUCCAGCCAUUUCGAGGGUCUUAAAAAUCUUGUCAUCGUUGAUUUAGGGUUCAAUUAUUUCACAGGAAACAUUCCCUCCUCUCUAUUAAAGCUUCCAUACUUACGAGAACUUAUGCUUCCCUUUAAUCAACUCAGUGGUGUCUUGAGUGAAUUUGAUAAUGCAUCUCUUCCUGUAUUGGAGAUGCUUGAUUUGGGAAGCAAUAACUUACAAGGACAUGUUCCUUUCUCUCUCUUUAACCUUCGAACACUUCGUGUCUUUCAACUUUCUUCCAACAAGUUUAACGGCACAAUACAGUUGAAUGUCCUUCAAAGGCUACGGAAUUUAAAUGUACUAGGCUUAUCACAUAACAAUCUGUCAAUUGAUGUCAACUUCAGAGAUAAUCAUGAUUUGUCACCGUUUCCAGAGAUAAAAGACCUUAUGUUGGCUUCCUGCAAGUUAAAGGGAAUCCCAAGUUUUUUAAGAAACCAAUCCAAAUUACUAUUUCUUGACCUAUCUAGCAAUGGUAUUGAAGGGCCGAUACCUAACUGGAUUUGGAAACUUGAAUCUCUCCUUAGCUUGAAUCUUUCCAAGAAUUCUCUGACUAACUUUGAAGAAAGUAUUUGGAACUUGAGUUCUAACCUCUAUUUGGUUGAUCUUAGUUUUAACAAGUUGCAAGGGCCUAUUUCUUUCAUUCCAAAGUAUGCUUUUUAUUUGGACUACUCAAGCAACAAGUUGAGCUCUAUCAUACACCCAGACAUCGGAAACUAUCUCCCUGCAAUAAAUAUAUUGUUUCUUUCAAACAAUAGUUUUAAGGGAGAAAUAGACGAGUCCUUGUGUAAUGCUUCAAGCCUACGCUUGUUGGAUCUCUCCUACAACAACUUUGAUGGGAAGAUUCCUAAGUGUUUUGCAACCCUGAGUAGCAAACUGAGGAUGUUGAACUUUGGAGGUAACAAGCUUCAUGGUCAUAUCCCUGAUACUAUAUCUCCAAAUUCAUGUGCACUGAGAUAUUUGAAUCUAAAUGACAAUUUAUUGGACGGUAGCAUACCAAAAUCUUUGGUCAAUUGCAAUAAACUUCAAGUCUUAAACCUUGGAAAUAAUUUUUUAAGUGACAGAUUUCCAUGUUUCUUAAGCAAUAUUUCCAACCUGCGAAUCAUGAUUUUAAGGUCAAAUAAGAUGCAUGGAUCUAUUGGAUGCCCAAAUAGCACUGGUGAUUGGGAGAUGCUUCAUAUUGUUGAUCUAGCCUCCAAUAACUUCAACGGAACAAUACCAGUUGCCCUAUUAAAUAGUUGGAAGGCAAUGAUGCGUGAUGAAGGCGUUCUUAGGAAAGAAUUAGGCCAUUUGUUUUUUGACAUCGAUGAUAACUUCCAUCCUAUGAGUUUCAAGGCUUUGUUACCAGAUUUGGACAAACAUGUGUCAAUGAAUUUGAUUAAACUCCUUGCAAACAUGUCUCGCUCUAUUAUUGACCAGGAGUAUGCUAAAUUUAAAAUUCUUGCUCGUUAUCAGGAUACAAUUAUUAUUGUCAACAAAGGUCAGCAAAUGAAUGUUGUCAAAAUUCAAAGUACCUUCACUUACGUUGAUAUGUCAAGCAACUAUUUGGGGGGGCCAAUACCUGAUGUGUUGAUGCGAUUCAAAGCAUUGAAUGCUCUAAACUUGUCACAUAAUGCAUUAACGGGACAUAUACCAUCAUCAGUGGAGAAUUUAAAGCAUCUUGAGUCUAUGGACUUGUCAAACAACUCCUUGAAUGGAGAGAUUCCUCAAGGGCUUUCAAGUCUAUCUUUCCUAGCAUAUAUGAAUCUCUCGUUCAAUCACCUAGUUGGACGAAUUCCUUUGGGUACUCAAAUUCAAACAUUUGAUGUAGAUUCCUUUGCAGGGAAUGAAGGAUUGUGUGGACCUCCACUGACCAAGAUAUGUGAACCUCCACAACCAGCAUCUGAAACACCUCAUUCCCAGAAUGAGAGUUUCGUUGAAUGGAGUUUCAUAAGUAUUGAGUUGGGAUUUUUUUUUGGCUUUGGAGUUUUCAUCCUUCCUGUUUUUUGUUGGAAGAAAUUGAGGUUGUGGUAUUCCAAACACGUAGAUGAAAUGCUUUACAGGUUCAUCCCCCGGCUAGAUUUUGUGUAUGAACAACAUGAAGGGAAGAGAUACAAAACUCUAAAGUGGAUGUACUGACUAUUGGACUCUUAGCUUGGGUCUUGCACUCUUCAAUUUUAUGUGUUUGUAUUUCCUCACCUUUCUUUGUUUAAAAGCUAUAGUAUAAAAAUAAAGAGUCACUGUUAGCAAGUACUCGUGAACAUUACCGUUGUUAAAGCCGAAGGAGUCUGCGAGUCACUGUUAACAAGUCCUCUUGAACAUUACCACUGCAGUUAGUUUGUUAUCUAUUUUUAGAAAUAACCACUCUGUAUUUGAGUGUCUGCUACUAUUUCAGUUUUAUAUACCAGUUAUAUUAUAUGUACUUCAAAAGUUAGUUUAACACUAUGAAUUUUUCUAAUGUCUUUGCUGCUAUUUCUGUUACUACUUUGUGGUUGUUCUAUUCCAUGGAUUCUUAUUUAUUGUAGGUUACUUCAUAGUUCUGUGAUUGAGUUGUAUCUUGUUCUAUAUGCAUCUACUGCAAACUUAAUAUUUCCUUGCUCCUUCACAGUUUCAUAGAUUAAUAUUAGUUCUUAGUAGUAGAAUAAUGCUUAAUUUUUCAAUGGCUUCUUAUUUGCCUUUUUAGAACUUCAAAAUGUUAAUAAGUUACUAUGAAGCACGGACACUCCUUGGAUAAGGUGUGUCCCUGUGUCAGACACGUGUCGUGUCCGACACUGACACGACACCGAUACAUAUAAUUACACUGCAUUUUGUGAUUUUCUAAAAAAAUUAGCUGUGUCGGCGUGUCCGUGUCCGUGUCGUGUCCGGUGUCCACUGUCUUGUACUGUGUCCCUUAUAUUUCUUCGCCAAUUUUUGCUCGUCCUCAGCCAUCAACAGUAUACAAAACACGCAUCUAUCUAUCUAUCUAUCUUAAUUUAGACCCCAGAUUACUUAUGCUGCCACUUAUUCUAUCUUGCGCCACAUCGCCCAAAAUUCUCAAUGGCCAUCUCCAUGAUCUCCCAAUGCAUAAUCUAUCACAUGCUCCUCAUUUCUUAUUUAUUUGCUAAAAAACGAAAUGUGUUCCUUUGUUGGAAGUUACUCUUUUUCCUGAUCAGUUACUUUCUUUCGUUGUUACUCUACCUUACUCUUCCACUAGGUAUCUAACCCGUGCGUUGCACGGGUUUUGAUUAUAAUAUUUUCUUUAAUAUAUUGGAAAUAAUAAUUUUUUUUAUCUUCCUAAAAAAACAAAUUUUAUUGGUCUAUUGAACUUUUUUUAUUUAAAAUAUACAACUGUCAAAAUAUUUUUAAACUUUUUCCCACAUAAAGUGAAUAUUGAAUAUAGAUAAUGUGUCACCCAUUUGUGUUAGAAAUCACUUGAAUUAUUAUAUCUUUUUCUCUUGUUUAGUUUAUAACUUCAUUUUCUCCUUUAUUUGUACAUAUUUUAGAUUUUAGAAGAAAAAAAAUUGUCGAUGUUGAAUUAUAAUUUGAUAUUAUAAAAUUUUUAUUCUAACUUGAAUCAAAUAAAUGAUUUUAUUUAAAUGAAAUAACUCAAUUUAUAAAAAAUCAAAUGUUUUCAUAUAUAUCAUUGUAUAGUUUUUAGUAAAAAUAUUACUCCCUCCAUUUUUUUAUGUGUCGUUAGAUGUUUGAUUAUUAUAAAGUAAAUAUAAAAGUUUAUAAUUGAUAACAAAAAUAAGGAGUUUUAUAGAGAUGACAUAUCAGAGCAACCACAUCCAUGCCACCCAAAUGGAUGGUAUAAAUGGGAUCCACAUAAUAUAUUAUAUUACUUUACACUUCCCAAUUAUUUAACUCACUCAACUACAUUUUCUAAAUAUUCAUACCACUCCUCUAAAACUCUAAAAUGGGUCUUAUUUAUCUUACAAUAACAGUAUACCUUAAAUACCAACAUUAUACUAAUUAAUAAUCUCACCUAUCAAUUGAUAAAAAUAAUCAAAAGUAAUCUUUUGUCACUUAAAAGUGGGUGGUACUGCAUUACCACUCUCUUGAGCUUUGCUACUUGCUUGCAUGCCAAAUAUCAGUUGCUUUCUGACACAUUUUCAUUUGGCCAAGUUAUACCACGGUAUUUUUGCACCGAUAAUUAUGCUCUUAAUUAGUAGUAGAAUUUUAUCUCUAUAAAAGAAAAGCAGUAUAGUUUUGUAAAGUUGCCACAUAAGCUAGAAAAGGAUUUGACUACGAAAUAGAGAAAUUCAUACAUGAAUGAACUCAAGUAAAACGUGUGAAUGACAUAUAUAUCACUGACCAAUUAGAGAAUUUAAAGAAUUAGUACUUAAUAUCUAACCUUUUAGGAAAUAAAAUUUUGUUGCCUACAAUAAUAAUUCCACAAAGUGUUCAAAUUCUAAAAAUAAGAUCACUAACAUUGUUAAAAAUUUAAAGUACAAAAUAGAAGAACAAAUCUGAUAAAAAAAAAAAAAAAAGACUUCUUGAGUGUUCAAAACAUAAGAAAAGAGUGGAAGACAUAAGAGCCAUCAAUUUGAUUGAAGAGAUAGAGUGAGGAAAAAAAGUGAACGGAUCCUCUCCCUCUGUAAUCUCUGCAGUAGCCUCUCAAUCUAUUGAACCAACCAUUAGAUACCUCCAAUGGAUGAUAGGGAAAGACAAUAAAAUUUUGAAAAAACAAUCUUGAAAUAUUCCCAAAUUGAUUUCGUGCACGUAAAUUGUCUCACCGUCCUAGCUUUGAACAACACUACCUCAAUAGAACAUUGAUUGGAUUUCUCCAAAGAGACCUACUAAUGAAUUUAAGUUUAGACUUCUUAUUCCUUAAAUACCCAUAAGGAGUUUCCUUCUCAAAGAUUGAUGAAUCCUCAUAUAUAACAGGUUCUUUGAUAUACUGAGGAAGAAGGGCCAAUUUGUUUUCCAUCAUAGAUUGAUUAUUCCAAUGAAAUUCAAUCUAUCCAUUUUUAAUUUCAAUAAUUCCUCAAUCUUAAAAACAAAUAGCUUACACAGUUAUUUAUUAAAAAAUAUAAUAGCUUACACAUGGGUGAAGAUCCUCUCCAUUUGACAAAAUAAAUGGAGUUUUGCAAGUUGGAGAGAGAUAGACACAAAAAUAGAUUGUGGGUCCUACCACUAAGUGGGUCCCACCAUCAUUAAUUAUAUUUUACUUUUUUUUAAAGAUUUUAUGUGUCUUUAUCUGUCCAAAUUGAAGAAAUGGAGAAACACAUAAAUUGAGAGGAUUCUAACCCGUAUUAUAUAUACAAGGUCUAAGGUUCAAACCUCGGUCAGCAUAAAAAAAAGCAACUCUCUCCAUUCUAAUUUUUUUUUUGAAGGACUCUCCAUUCUAAAUUAUACUCCAUCCAUCUCUAUAUGUAAACACCUAUUUGACUAAAAAUUUGUCCCUAAAUGUAAGCUCCUUUUUAAAUUACUAGAUGCAUUUUUUUUUUAAUACACAUAUCCCUAAUUAAUAUACUACAAACUUAUCUUGAAAUAUUAAAAGUCAAAUUUAAUACACAUACAAACAAAACACAAUUUGGUAAUAUUAACAAACAAAAUAGACACAUUAUACACAAACAACUUUUCUUAAGAAAUGUGAAAGAAGCAAAGAGAGCUUACAUACAGGGACGAAGGGGUAUCUCUUUUCUUUUUUUUUUACUGAAUUCUAAAUUAUAUCCCAUUCUAAUAAAAUUUGUUUUUUAAAUUCUUUUAAUUUAUGUUUUUCAAACUAUUAAUAAAUGAUAAUUUUUGUUUUUCAUACUAUUGAUAAAUGAUAUUUUUAUAAAAUAACACAUAAGUACUCUUUUUUUUAUACAAUAUUAACUAUUUUUUUAAUUUAUGCAAAAUUUCUAAAGUAAAAUAUAAUUUUGGACUGAAAAAGUACAAUAAUUGGUGAAAGAGUCAACAUUUGAACCUUUCUCUUUAGGCUUAAUACAUCUCUUGGUCCCUUAACUUAUUUUAAUUUUUCAGUUUGGUCCCUUAACUAUUAAAUGUUUCAAUUUGAUCCUUAUCUUUGUUUUCGUCAUCAAUUUGGUCAUAUUUUAUUAAUUUUAAAUCCCUAAAAAAGUAGACCAUUGAAUCAAGGAAGUUCAUCAUAUCUUACCGUGUAUCACCAACACUUAAGUAUCUGGAAUUUAAUUUUUAAAAAUUCAAAAUAAAUUAAUUAAUUUUAAAAAAUUGAAAAUUAAUUUUCGAAAAUUAAAAAAUUCUGAAAAAAUUCAGGAUUUUUUUUAAUAAAAAAUCUGGAAAAAUACUUUUAAUUUCGAAAGAAAAAUCUGAACUUUUUUGGAAUAUAUUUUCUAAUAAUUAGCCAAAAUCGAUUUUUGAUAAUUAUAAUUCAGAUUUUUUUUCAAAAUUAAAAAGAUUUUAAAAAAUUCUGAAAUUUAAAAUACACCAAAAGCAAAAAUUCAAAAUUUUUAAAAAAAGGUCAGAUUUUUUUUCAAAAAAAAAGUUUUUAAAUUUUAAAAAUCUGGAUACCAAUUUAGAAAAAAAAUUAUUUUAAAAUCACGAUUAUUUUAAAAAUCAUUUUUUCUACGAAAUUAUGAAGAUUUUACGAUUUUGGCUAAUUAUAUACUUCGAAAAAGUUCAUAUUUUUCUUUCGAAAUUAAAAGCCAUUUUCCAGAAUUAUUUUAAAAAAAAUCUUCAAAAAAAAAAAAAAAUCCUGAAUUUUUUCAAAUUUUAAAUUUUUUUUUAUUUUUGAAAAUUAAUUUUCAAAUUUUUUUAUUUCUAAAUUAAUAUAAAAUAAUUUUUAUUAUUUUUAAAAAUUAAAUUUCGGAUACUUAGGUGUUGGUGAUACACGGUUAGAUAUGAUGAACUUCCUUUAUCCAACGGUCUUCUUUUUUAUGGAUUUCAAAUUAAUAAAAUAGGACCAAAUCAAUGACGAAAACAAAGAUAAGGACCAAAUUAAAAUAGUUAAUUAAAGGACCGGGAGAUAUAUUAAACCUUCUCUUUAAUACUUGAAUUAUAUACUAUCAUAUAUUCUUAUCACUUUAAAUACCCUACAUGAGUUAGUGGCAAGUGACUGACCUAUAUUUCUUCAUGCUGACUUGGUAAUACAGUUAUAAUUUUGGUCAAGUGUAUAAUUUAUACUCCUCAUUCUUUGUUUUGAAAUAUGGAAAUUCAAUUAUAAAUAUAUAUAUACCCUUCGGUCACUAAUAUGAGCAAAAAUCAAUUUUUUAGAUACAUUCAAUUAAUGAUGUAUGUGACAUAUAAUAAAGACCACAUACAUCAUUAAUUCAAUGUAUCUAAAAAGUAAAUUUUUGCUUAUAUUAGUGAUCGGAGGGUGUACACUUUAUAUGUCACUAUUAUACAUAAACAUUCUUUUUUCAAAUUAUUGAAUAAUUAAUGUAUUUAGUCUUUAUUAUAAAAUCGAUAGAUCAAUUGUUCAAUAAAUUUCAAAAGGGAAUAUUUGCUUAGACCAUCCACAAUGGUGUUUCACCUAUUUAGCACCGAGCUAAAUAGGCACCCCAUUGUGGAGUGAUAUUUAUUGGUGCUUAUAUACAAGGGUGUUUAUAUAAGGACCUUCUCUCUCUUCAUUUUUGUGUGUGAAUUUCGUUUAAUAUUUUCUAAUAAAAUAAAUGAGUGUUUAAGAGAUGUAAUAAUAUAGAGUUAUUAGUGAGACCUAUUAGUAAAUUUUGUUGUGGUGCUGGGCUGAAUGAAUUGGGUGCUUAUUAGGUAUUGACAUUAAAAAUUUAUAAAAUAAAUGAUGUGUACAUGUGUGGCCCACUUAAGUACCCAACUAGAGGAGCUCCAUUGUGGAUGGUCUUAUAACAAUAACCGUAGAAAACAUACACAAAGAAAUAACUUAGUAAUGAAAAAUGCUACAAAAUAUCCUUAAAACAUUGGUUAAGUGUACAAAAAUAAAAAUAUUAUGUUUGUUUCCUCUUUUGCACCAAAAAAAAUUAUGUUAAUACCACUGCUCUGAUUUUCUUAACAAAUGCUCUUUUUUUUAUUUGGUCUUGGUUGGGGUCCGUAACAAAUGCUUGAACAUAUUUUUUUGUUAAAUUUUUUCAGGGUUUGUAUGAACGGUCAACGAGGAUGGAAUCACGCUGCAAUAAAGUGUGGUUCAUCUAAGGGUCAUGUGAGUCAGUGUGGUUCUUAGCUUGGCCUGUCUAGGGGUAAGUUUGAGUACCCCCCACCUCCCUCAAGGGCAUUGUUUUUUUCUUCCCGCCCUCCGCUUCCCUCCUUCUCCGGUUUUCCUCCAAUAGGCAAACUACUAGUAUGUCCUAUCACAUACUAGUGGUUAGGCUCUUAGAAGAUUAGAAUUAAAUUUAGGAUCUUAUGUAAUAGGCUUAAAAAGCUUGAAAAUUAUUGUAAUGUAUUGUUCAUAUAUUAAUAAAAUGAGUUGUUUUUAUGUUUGUGUCUUUUUAUUUCUGUUUUUUAUUUUAUUCGCAUUUUAUUUUACGAAUUGUAAAGCUUAAAAUUGCAAAAGUUCUGGUAAAACAUUAUUCCGGAUUUUCAAAUCCGGAAACAUCUGCAAAAUUCUAACAAUGAAAUCCGGAAUACAAAAUCCGGACUAGGGGUAAAAAAACAGAUUAAAUUCAAAUAAAAAUAAUUAAAAAAUAAUAAUGUCAAACAAUCAACACUACUACUAAUAAUAAUAAUAAUAUUAUGGGUUAAUGGUGUUUUACUCCCCUGUAAUAUAGGUCAUUUUUUGUUUUCCUCCUGUAAUUUUUUUUUUGAUUUACCCCCUGUAAAAUAUUUCUUUUUUGGAAUACCCCUUGUAAAAUAUUUCUUUUUUGGAAUACCCCCUAAUAGGUCAUAAAAAAGCGACUUUAUUUUUUUUUUUUGCAGAAUUUUUUCGUUUUUUUAUGACCUAUUAGGGGGGUAUUCCAAAAAAUAUAUAUUUUAUAGGGGGGUAAAUCAAAAAAAAUAUUUUACAGGGGGAAAACAAAAAAUGACCUAUAUUACAGGGGGUAAAGCAUCAUUACCCUAAUAUUAUCUAAUAAGUAUAUUAAUAAAAUUAUAUUAAAAAUCAGGUGUUAACUAAACCGACGUUGGCACAUCGUGUUCAAAUGAAGUCAAUAUACAAAUAUCCAACAGUUUCUCUUCAAGACUAGGUUGUCUGCCUCGAAUUCUUGCUUAUUCACUUUCUUGAUUUCUGCUUCUUUAGUCCUACAUUGCAUCUGAUUUCUUCAACAAAAUCUAGGUCUUUGCAAAGGCUUUCGUCAUUUGUUUUGAUGUCUAUAGGAGCUGUUGCUCUCCAAUUGAGUAUGUUUAGUUCAAUGGAAAUAACAGAUUCGGUUCAGUAAGUUAAAUGGAAUGGAGAUUCUUCAGUGGUCGAGUGGAGGGUGUGGUUUGAUAUGUCCAUACUACUGAAUGGAAUUCUUUGACCUAGUUUUCCAUUGCAUCAUCAAAAACACAAAGCCAACCACAAAUAGGUCGUGAGACUAAUUAGAGCAAAGAGAUGCGUGGAUGUUGAAUAACACACUAGAUGCAAAACACUUGUCUCGAAAACCCAAAUCAAGCAACAAACACAUAUCUAUAAACUUUGACAAUUUAAAUAUAUGGUUAAUGAAGUUCAAUUAAUGGUUAAUGAAAUCAUUAAGGGGUCAUGACUCGUGACUCAUUAACCAUCAACUGCACACAAUUGACCAUUACUUAAAUGCCAUUAACCAUGAUUUGCAAGUGUACAUUAGAAUAUUUUUUUUUGACCGACAGUGUACAUUAGAACAUAAAUAUACAAUGAGGUUGGUUGGCCUGGUGAGGUUGUUGGUGAUAUAUUAGACCUGUGUGUGUUUUAGUAAACUGUUGACGGAGGAGGACGAGCAAAACUUGGCAAAGAAAUAUAAGGGACACAAUGCUAUUUAGAAGUUUUCUUUAAUCUUCCAAAUGCAAAAGAAGGAUAGUCUUCUAACUUGAAUGUGGAGUUUGUUUUUAUUCGUAAUACAAAAUCCCCCUAAUUUAGGGGUAACCAAGAAAUGGAGUGAAUUUAAAAUAUCUGAAUCCGUGUUUAAGUUUCUAACAACGUUUUGUUGUCAUCGUUGUUUGAUUCAUUAGAACAAAUUGCAGAGAGACAGAUGAAGUAUACAAACAACUACUAUUUAUUUAACUUAAAUUAAGUAGAGAUAUAAGCACACACUCGAUUUCAGACAGUGAUUAUUCAUUGCUGAAUCUACAGGUUUCUUAGGCUUCAAGGAUAACAAUAUGACAAGCAAAAUAGUCGGAUUAAAGAGGCAAUGUGAACAAGGGAAGAAUAAAAAUGAUGCAUCGAGACUCGAGAUAUUAUUUGCUUGCAGCCCUGGUGAGAUUCUUAUUAAUGAACUUCCAUGUUUCCCUGAAGUUACACGUAUGUAUAUGCUAACCAUCAUUUCACUUGGAACACUUUUCUAUUCAGACACUAAAACUUUAUAAUGAAAAGAGUAAGUAAUUUUCUUACACUUGCUGCCUCUCAUUAGCUGCUUAUAGGGCCACGAUCGAAAACAUGCCAUGUAAGUAAGAACACAAGGACCAAAUUAACACUAAAACAAAAAUGAUAAUGAAAGAUAACUAUGUUUUGGUUAAUAGCAACGGUUUUCUGAAUUUUCUCCAUGCUGACUUUCUUAACAAUUGUAAGAUCAAUAAAUCAGUCAUAAAAGAAAGGAUUGGUUUGGCAUUAUUUAUUUAUAUUAUUUAAAAUGUAGCUGAUGAAACAAAAAAGUUCAUGAAAAAAUGUACCUUUCAGUGUUAUGAUCAGAAGCUUUUUGCAUCAAAUGACGGUAUAAACUGGGUAAAGUUGUCAUAAAUAUAAAUGGGAAAUGUGUAAACGAGUAUGGUUGUUCCUAUACAAGGAGAGAGUACGCACUCCGAUUUGUAACAGCACACACCGCACACUGAUCUGUGUUCUCUUCUUACGCCGCACUCCGAUAGAUAGAUAUAUACCAGUAAUCUUUUAAACUAGGAAAACUGGUUUUAUAGAUUUGGUCAUUGCUUAUAUAAUAAUGAUCUUGGAAGUAAAAUUUAUCAUAAAUAUAAAACAACUAAGUUCAUUUGGUUGUAGAUUGUUUCAAUGAAGGUUCAUUUCCUCUUGCUUUCUGAAAACCUCAGACUACAGUUCUUCUACUAACCACUAAAUAUUAAUCAAUGAGAUUGCAAAGCAUGACAACAUUAUGUUUGCAGUUCUUUUUAAGGCCUUAUGAGUGAACUUUAAUCCACAUUUCAUUUUCUAACUUUGUGUUGACAUUGCUUCACAAUUAAUGAGAAAUAAUAUGCAAUGAUAAUGUGGCCAAAGUUCAUUCAUAAGGACAAAAUGCAGAGAGAAUGAUGAAACUAAACUAACUUUUGAAGUAGAUAUAUAACUGGUAUAUAUAGAACUGAAAUGGUAGCAGAGAAACUCGCAUACACUUUAAUACAUAGUGAUUAUUUCUAAAAAUAGCUAACAAACUAACUGCAAUUUUAAGCUAUCAGAUAGCUAUCAGAUUCCUUCUGCUUCAACAAUACUAACAUGAGAAGAAAAAGAGUCCUAGUGAACAAGGGAGGAAUACGAAUAAUGGAUCCACACCUGAGUCAUGUUUUGCUUGCACCAUUGAUGUGAGUCCAAUUUAUGGACAUAUAGCUUCGAAACCAAGAGUUAAGCGACUAGUACCUCCACCUUAGAGAUCUACACCUCUUCCCUUCAUGCUGUUCAUACACAAAAUCUAGCUGGGGGAUGAACCUGUGAAGCAUUUCAUCUGCAUGAUUGGAAUACCACAACCUCCAUUUCAUCAAGCAAACAAGGGGGAGGAUGAAAAUUCCAAGGCCAAAAAUAAAUCCCAACUCCACACUUAAGAAAUUCCAAUCAAUUGAACUGUCAUUAUGACAAGGAGAUAACUCGGAUGCUGGUGGUGGCAGCCCUUGCACUCCGCCAUCGUCGCAAUUGGUGGUCAGUGGAGGUCCACAUAACCCUUCAUUCCCUUUGAAGGAGUCUACAUCAAAUGAUUGAAUUUGAGUACCCAAAGGAAUUCGCCCCACGAGGUGAUUGAACGAGAGGUUCAUAUAUGCUAGGAAAGAUAGACUUGAAAGCCCUUGAGGAAUCUCUCCAUUCAAGGAGUUGUUUGACAAGUCCAUACACUCAAGAUGCUUUAAAUUCUCCACUGAUGAUGGUAUAUGUCCCGUUAAUGCAUUAUGUGACAAGUUUAGAGCCAUCAAUGCCUUGAAUUGCAUUAACUCAUCAGGUAUUUGUCCCUCUAAGUAAUUGCUUGACAUAUCCACAUAAGUGAAAGCCGUUUGAACUUUGACAAGCUUCAUCUGAUGACCUUUGUUGACAAUAAUAAUUGACUCCUGAUAACGACCAAGAUCCACAUGUUCUGCGGUCCUGUCAGAGAAUACUUGAUACAGAUCAGAAUGGGACAUAUUUAAAAGAAGUUGGGCCACUUGCUUAGCACAAAAUUUUUCCAUCAUCCGUACUACAUCCUUAAAACCCAUUUGGUGAUAGUUAUCAUAAACUUCAAAAAACAAACUGCCGAAUUCUGGUCCAAGCACGUCUUCGUCACGCAUCAUUGCUUGCCAACUAUUUAAGAGUGCAGAUGAUAUCAUGCCACUGAAGUUAUUGCGUGCUAGAUCAACGAUAUGAAGCAUCUUCCAAUAACCAGUGCUAUUUGGGCAUCUGAUAGACCCAUGCAGCUUAUUUGACCUUAAAACCAUGAUUCUCAAUGUUGGAAUUUUACUUAGAAAACAUGGAAAUCUGCCUGUUAAUGCAUUCUUUCCAAGGUUUAAGACUUGUAGUUCCUUACAAUUGAUCAAGGAUUUUGGUAUAGGACCUCCUAAAAGAUUGUCAUUUAGAUCAACAAACCUUAGUGCGCAUAAAUUUGGAAACAUACUACUAGGAAUUUGACCUCGGAGCUUGUUUCCACCGAAAUUCAACACUCUUAGAUUGCUACUCAGUGCUUCAAAACACUUGGGAAUUUUCCCGAGAAAGUUAUUAUGGGAAAGAUCUAGCAACCUUAGACUAGUUGCAUUACAAAAAGAAUCAUGGAUUUGUCCUUGAAAUUUGUUGUUUGAAAGAAACAUAAAAGUCAUGUAAGGGAGGUGGUUCCCAAUGUCUGGUGGAAUGAUAGAGCUGAAGUUGUUGCUUGAAUAGUCCAAAUAAGCGGCGUACUUUGGAACUAAAGGAAUUGGCCCUUGGAGGUUGUUAUAACUUAGAUCAACAGUGUUAAGGUUAGAACUGAAGUUCGAAAAACUUUCUUCCAAACCUGUAAAAUAAUUAUGGGAAAGAUUCAAGCUAACAAGAGAUUCAAGUUGCCAAAUCCACUUAGGUAUUGGUCCUUCAAUGUUAUUGUCAGCCAUGUGAAUAGAUAAUAUUGUGGAUUGGUUUUUCAAGAAACUAGGAAUUUGUAACAGCUUACAAGAUUCCAAAUCUAGAAUUCUCAUCUUUGGAAAGGAUGACAUGUUAUGAUCAUAUUUGAAGUUGACAUCAACCAAAAGAUUGUUAUAUGAUAGCCCUAAUACAGUUAAAUUACUUAACUUUCUAAUGACGUCCAACUUUACUGUACCAUUAAACUUGUUGGAAGAAAGUUGAAUGAAACGAAGUGUUUGAAGGUUAAAGAUAGAUAAUGGAAUAGGGCCUUGUAAAUAAUUAUUGGACAAAUCUAUCAUCUCCAAUAGAGGUGAAGAAGCAUUGUGAAAUUCACCCAAGAUACCACUAAGCUUAUUAUAGGGAAGCUUCAGUUCUCUCAAACAUGGGAGCUUAAGAACAGAUGAUGGCACACUCCCGUUGAAAGAAUUGAACCCUAAAUUGAUGCUAACAAGAUUUAUGAGGCCCUCAAAAUGAUUUGAUGGUAAAUUUCCACUUAAAUAAUUUCGAAGGAGGGAUAUAUAUCUGAGGUUCUUGGACAUGCUUAAAGAAGGGAGUAAGCCUGUGAAGUUAUUAAAUGACAAGUCUAGAUAAACAAGUUGGGUGAGCUUAGACAUUGAACUGGGAAGUGUUCCAUUGAAUUGGCAGUGAGAUAGAUCAAUAGUCGACAGGUGCUUCAGAUUGGAGAUAGUAUUUGGAAGUGGUCCUGAGAAAUUUGUAUCGGCAAGAUUUAAGUACUUAAGAGAUGCAAGUGUUGAGAAAUCUGGCAAAGAACCAUUAAGAUUUUGAUUGUAUGAUAUGUCAA